AGAGGAUCAUAGAACUAGCUACCACUUGACGCAGUAGAAGUACAUAGGGUUAACAACCGUUGAACCUCAAAUAAUGGAAAACAGUGUACCAGCAAUAAACCCUAGAUAGGCUUAUUUGGAACCCACCAGAAAAUAAAAGAGCUCUUGAGGCUUUUUGAUAAAUAAUAAGAUAGAUGUCUGCUACCCAUAAGGGAGCUUUUAUAUAUAUAUAUAUGAGAAAACAAACCCUAGGAUAACAAUCAAGCCUAAAACCUCAUGAAUUAAAAUAAAAUCGAAUUCAAAACAUACUAGAAAACAUAAAAUGCCGAAAAUAAAUAAAUUGUUGUUUUGAGGCCUAAAUGAACUUGGAUAGUCGAAAAAGCCCAAGACAAAUUUGACUCGUCUCGCCAUUCCCAUUCCAAAAGGGUAUAAUAUAUAAUUAAUAUUCGGACACCGAACGUCAAAUCUGUAUCAAACCGGGCUACAACGACCUUUAAUCUCCUCUGCCAUCCUCUGAUCCUCCCUACGCUCAGCAAUGAUCAAGUUUCAGAUAUUAAUUAGUAUAGUUUGGCAGUACAAGUAAGACUCCACUCCAGUACAAGUAAGCCAAAUUAAAGCACUCCUAGGGUUUAAUUCUAGCUGGCUGAUCCCCUAAAUUAUCGAGAAACAUCUGUGUAAUAUAAAAAGUGUGCAAAUAUCGUGUUAAUCUGUUAUUUUCCUCUCCGAAAGAGAAGUCUCUUCAUUUUCGAUACAAUCCAUACCCAACUGAGACUAGUUGAGUCCGACGACGAAGACGAUAUUUUGCUCUUAUACGACUGCUUCAUCCAGAGGUGGCUUUGAUCAUUUCUUAGGUGUGCACACACGAGUAUUAAUAUGUAUCUCGAUCACUUCUUAUUAAUUUAUUAUUGCUCUCUUUUCUCACAUAAUUAAGCAUACGUACUUUAGAGUAUCAUUGAGCGACAAGGUUUCCUAUUUGCACCCUGUAUUACAGAUCACAAUACAGGUGCAAACAUCAGAUCGAAAUUCAAGCAUAUCUAGAGUUUUAAUAUAAUGUUAAUAUGUAAUAAUCAUAUGUACGGCUUUUCUAGACUUGAUGCAACUCCCCUAUGCAUGCUGUUUUGGACCUUGAAACUCAAGCUCCCGAUCAAAAGAUUCCCAAAUCCAAAUUUGCAAACAAUUCUAUCUUACUUUCACAUGCAAUCAGUCUUAAUAUAAUUUCUUAGACAAAUCUAAAAAAUCCGUUUGGUGGAAAAAAUUAAUUGUUUGUUCAUAUGACAACAAUAUAAAUCUCAAGCGGAAAGAGACCACGAGGUUACAAUAUGCAGACCAUGAUAUAUAUUUGCUCCUGCUUGUUCGUACAAAUCGAUUAUCAUAUAUCAAUUGGUUUAUCAUCCCAAGAAAGUGAUAAGCAACUUUAUAGCUAGACAAAAAAAGAGCCGUGUGUAAAUUGAGUAUAUAGGAGCACUUGCUUUUCAAGUCCUCUUAUUUUGAAUUUGAAUAUGAGUUCCAACCAUUUGUCCAUUUCUUUCCAAUUUCUUUCCACAGCUGGAUCGAUAAGACUGCUCCCAUUUGAAAAUAUUGGAAUGAAAAUGACUUGUAUAUGCAUGUGUUGAUCUCGACCUUGGUAUUAUUCAAACUUUUGAUUAGGGUUCAAGCAUGACAGAAGCACUUCCACUUGAAACAAAAUCACAUAUAAAAACUAGGGACGUACCUAACUACUCUUGGAUCGUUCACCUGUUAAUUUCAUAUGCAACGAUUCUUCUGGUUAUAUGUAAUUAGCAUCUGCCUUGCUCCAAACACAACUAAGCAAGUAGAGCUUAUAAUAACUAAUAUUGGGAUCUCAAUUGUGAUUGCUUGACGUAUAAGUUUAAAGGAACUUGCUGAUAAAAACUUGGAUUAAUAGCUCAUAAAAAUAAGGCCUAUCUUUUGGAGACGAAACCCAUGAAAUGUUUGGCUGAUCGAAGAAAUGUCGACGGCGUGAGACGUACUAAGAAAUAUAGCGUCGAUCGAAAGCAACAACUCCCAAAACGUAAGAUGAAAAUUGGCCUACCAAACUUUGAUAACCAGCUAGCAAUAUAUGUCUAGCUGAAGUUUAGACAUCGUAUACGCAUAUAUAGAGCCAAUUUGAAGCUUAAUGGCACUUAUAUUGUUUUCAUAUAUUAAAAUGAAAACGGAAUCAUUUUCAUAUAUAUAUAGUAAUAGUAGAGCCAUAAGCUAGCUAGCUAAGCCUUAAAAUAACAAUUAUUAAGUGAAGAAAUUAGCUGUUCACCUACUGCUGGCAAUUGGUUGUUGUAUAUUCUCAAACCUUUCCCUUUGGAAUGACAAUGCUAUGCCCUAAACCCAUACGGUUCUAAAUAUCUGAUAUUUUUCUUUUUCAUUUGUAGACUCAGGAAUAAUUAACUGCAAUAUAUUUACACUAUACCUAGUGGCAAGGUGAAGCUGAGUGUCGUCAGAUUUAUCUUCUGGCGGCAACAUAGCUGGAGAACGGAUUUAGAAUUGCAUAUUAGGAUGUGUAAGCAUGUUACAUAUCUAUUGAUCUUUCCCAAGGAUGUCACCGCUAUAUCAAAGCAAAAUAGAGUUGCCAUUAGACAAUAUUUUUUGCUAGUUGGUGUUUGUUUGAGUACAUGAGUAUUGUAAAGGUUUCUGAUAUUAUUUUAGGUCUUUGUAAUCAGGGGUUAAGACUCAAUGUCCACCCUUUGUAUUCAGUAGUUUCAUUAAUCGAGACUUAAGGUAGUCGCAUCAGCCCUUUAUUUAAGCAUAAAUAAAUAAAAUAAAGAAGGUCUAAAGUAAAUUAGGGUUUGGAUAAACUAGCACUAAUACUAGAGUAUGUGUCCAAAUGCUUUGAACUAAAUAAGACAAUUAGCUAGCUAGUGCAAGAAGGUUGACUGGCUCCUCUUCAGAAAUUUCUAACAGACAAGACAAGGCUAGCUUUAUCUAGUUGUUAGGCUGAUAGCUACCCUCCACUUAUAAGCUCUAAUAUGUAUCUCCUCCACUCUACCUGCCACUACCAAAGAGCAGUACUAGUCUUCAUUAGGCAAUAUUUAGCAUAAAUUUUCUUUUCUUUACACCUAAGAAAUUUAGUUGUUCUUCUUCAGGUGUACGUACAAUGGAGGCUAGCUAAAGGCCCAGAAAGCACAGCUAAGAGAUUGUACAUAAACAUACAUCAACCAUUUGUUUAUGCAUUCAGAAGAUUAGUUUAUAAAUCAACUUGCAAAUCUUAACCAUAUCUAUCUGCUAGCUAGUUCAUCAUAGUCCCUUCCUCCUCAUUUGAGUGCUGCAUGACCGCUGCUUUUGUGGCCAUGCAUAUUGAAAUUCAUUGAAUCUGCCAAACAUAUUUGUGUUGCAAGCAUAUGUCUGUUCAAUUAGCAACAUUAAAGGGUCCAAUGAAAUGACCCUUUCAUUGGUCUUGUUUUUAGUGCUUUAUCAGCAGCCCUACUACCACUAAAAUUUUGACUCAAUUCUGUAAGAAAAUUUGCAAAUAUCUCAUUUUUUCAGUAAGGUACGGUGGUCUUGAGUUGAGUUCGAUAUAGAUAUUAACCAAAAAAGAAAAAAAAACACCUUCCAAAAAAGAAAAAAAACACCUUUGUUUAGCUUUCUCGCGUCCAAAUUUUGUUAGCUCUGGACGUGUUCUGGGAUAUUAUGACAUGCACUACUAAUAGUAACAAGGUUGUCAAUUGCUACUACUGAAUAUAUUGUUCUAGAGACCGACCAUAUAUAUAUAGAGAGGGCUGCGAUAUCCAUCAAUAUAAAGAAAAGGUAAUUUCACUGAUCGAUGUCAAAUCUAAAUCCCAGAAAGCAUGCAUCCCAGACAAAGUGGAGAAGCUAGCACUGUGUUUUGUUGGCACUCACAGAAAGAAAAAAACGAACUUUAGUUUCUAAACCCACAAAGAAGUCGUGCAGAAAUCAAGUUCAGUAACAACAUAGAGAAAAAUGGAUCGUAGAAAUUUCAAAGAUGAAUCUGUUUCAAACAUGUCUAUGUCAAGACAGAUCAGCAGCCUAAUGGAUUCACAGCCGUUUAAUUUCAUGUCUUCACGUCGACACAGAUCGAUUGAUAAGGAUAUGUACUGGUUUGCUGUAUAUGACUGUAUCCAACAAAUUCACGUUUCUUUUCUCAAAAUAUAUAAUGUUUGAUUAUAGCUAGCUUCUUCCUACACAUUUCCCUUAUCACCACGCACCUAAUUACUUGCUCGUUUUUCCUGUGAAAUAUAUGAACCUGCGUUUUAUUUUCAUCUUUCUUACACGUAUGCUCACUGCACAGUACAUGCAACAAUCGCAACCGUUGUUCAAAUUUGGCCACCCUCUAUAUAUACCUCGACCACCAUCUCUCUACUCUUACUUCCCUCAACUCAAAGCAAACACUCAUCUAGGCUAGCUAGUUUUCCAUUCCUCUCCAGUACUUGAAUCACAAUACCAACUUUUCUUAAGCUGGAGCUAGCUAGUUCUUCUGAGGUCGAUACGUACCUUCAUCGAUACAUUCGAUAAGCUAUAAAGAAUUAUCGAUAGCAAUGGGCAUCUUAAACAGUUUCCAGGACCAUCAGGUUUGUGAUAAACUUUUUCUUUACUACUGUCCCUGUAUGAUUUACUCAUUGUCAUGCUAGCUAGGGUUUAUGUUGAAAGUGUUUCAUUUUUAUUAACUGCUAUACUACCGGUGUGUACUAGGGAUGCUUCUAGCUAGCUAGUCGUCAAUUGCUAGAAGCACUUAUCCAUAUGUAUAAACUUCAAUCAAUAUUAAUGAUUUCAGGGCUAUGUUGAAGAAGAAAAUAGCCAAAAGAAGAUGACAGAAACAUGUACAAUGGAUGGAGCCGUUGAUUGGAAUGGCCGCCCUGCUAUCCGAGGGAGAAGUGGUUCUUGGGUUGCUGCAGUUCUCAUAUUAGGUAAGUAAAUAAUUUACACAAGCUAAAUAAGCUAGCUCCAUGCACACACACACAAACUAAUUGAUUACAAAUUUAUCUUUCAAAAAAAAUAAUAAUAUUAAUUACAAAUUUAUAUAUUUAAUCACGACAUGUUUUAUAUGAUCAUACCAUAAGCCACGUCUGUACUAAACUUGCAUUUUUGGGUCUCGAUCAGUGUGUCUCAAUUGUCAAAACUUGAAAUUGUAGCUAGUUUGGAUUCUUUUCUCGAUCAUUAAUUUACAUUUUAAUUUUUAUUUAAUAAUUCCAUUUUAGAUGGAUAGAUCUCACAUUUUUCAUAAAAUAAACAAGAUCAAUCACAUAUAUACAUAUAAAUUAUUCUUCGUAAAACUUGUUGAUAUAUAAUCUAUAAUUAUAUUCUAAACCAUGAUAUUAUUGUAUCUUUAUAUUACUUAUAUAUAUGUUCAUAUAAUUUUCUUUGUGUGGUCAAAUCUAUGUUUCAUAAUUGGUUAAACUUAUAUGAUUUUUCUCGGUGAUUAGUGAAUCAAGGGUUGGCAACAUUGGCUUUCUUUGGAGUAGGAGUGAACUUGGUAUUGUUCUUGACAAGGGUAUUGGGACAAGACAACGCUGAGGCUGCAAACAAUGUCAGCAAAUGGACCGGAACAGUUUACAUUUUCUCUCUUCUUGGGGCUUUCCUUAGUGACUCUUACUGGGGGAGAUACAAAACUUGUGCCAUCUUUCAAGUCAUUUUUGUCAUUGUAAGUUUCUUAUUACCAAUCAAAAUCCUACUAAUUAAAUUAUUGUACGAUACCAUAUACGACAUAUGCAAAUAUACGGUUCCUCAUUUUGUAUAACUUAGGUUUGUUCUUUUCCUUUUUGGCCUUAGUUUUGUAACAAAAUUAUCAGUUAGUGUUACUUACACAAUAUUUCUAACCAGUUUUAUGUAACUAAUUUUAUUUUUUACAGGGCUUGACAUUAUUGUCACUAACAACCUACCUAUUCCUGCUCAAGCCCAAGGGUUGUGGUGAUGAGAAAUCUCCAUGUGGAGAACAUUCGAAUUUUGAAUUCGCAUUGUUUUACCUCUCCAUAUAUCUCAUUGCACUAGGGAAUGGAGGUUACCAACCUACAAUAGCUACAUUCGGAGCAGAUCAGUUUGAUGAGGACGACCCCGAAGAAGGCCACUCCAAGAUUGCCUUCUUCAGCUACUUCUACUUGGCUUUGAAUCUUGGCUCCCUCUUUUCAAACACAAUAUUAGGGUAUUUUGAGGAUAAAGGAAUAUGGACUGUAGGGUUUUGGGCAUCUACAGGCUCUGCGGCCAUGGCUUUGAUUUUGUUUCUUUGCGGAACUCCGAGGUAUAGGCAUUUUAAGCCUCAAGGCAAUCCUCUUUCUAGGUUCUGUCACGUAUUGGUUGCUGCUACAAGAAAAUGGAAGGUCAAGAUCACGUCAGAUGGAGAUGAUUUGUAUGAGGAACAUUUGAAACAAUGCCCUGAAAAUCAGAGUAGGAAAAUACUUCACACCCGAGGAUUCAAGUGAGCUCACAUUCUUUUAAGUCGUUAUUCUAUCUGUCGAGAUUUAAAAUUAGUAAUCAUCAUAUCUGGUGCUUAAUUCUUGAUCUAUUUCUAAACAAGAUUCAUGCAUGUUAUUCAACAGGUUUUUGGAUAGAGCAGCAAUCAUCACAUCAAAGGAGUCGAAUCAUGUAGACAAAUAUGCUCAAAAUCCAUGGCGGCUUUGCACAGUGACACAAGUAGAAGAAGUUAAAUGCGUAUUGAGAUUACUUCCAAUUUGGCUAUGUACAAUUCUCUACUCGGUAGUUUUCACACAAAUGGCCUCCCUCUUUGUAGAACAAGGUGCCGUAAUGAAAACCACCGUGUCCAACUUCCACAUUCCCCCAGCCAGCAUGUCAAGUUUCGAUAUCCUCAGCGUCGCAUUGUUCAUCUUCAUUUACCGGAGAGUUCUUGACCCACUUGUUGCUAAGCUACGCAAAAGGGGACUCACCGAGCUACAAAGAAUGGGGAUUGGUCUUGUCAUUGCCAUCAUGGCUAUGAUCUCAGCCGGAGUUGUGGAGUGUUUUAGGUUAAAAUAUGCAAGAACAGAUUGCGCCUCUACCGACUGUGAGAGUCCGAGUUCAUUGAGCAUAUUUUGGCAAGUUCCUCAAUACAUGCUCGUCGGAGCUUCCGAAGUGUUCAUGUACGUGGGUCAGCUAGAAUUCUUUAAUAGUCAAGCACCUGAUGGGUUGAAGAGCUUUGGUAGUGCUCUUUGCAUGACUUCAAUAUCACUUGGGAACUAUGUGAGUAGUUUGCUGGUUACGAUUGUGAUGAGGUUUUCUAGUAGAGAUGAUAUGAGUGGAUGGAUCCCUGGAAACCUUAACAGAGGUCAUCUGGACAGGUUUUACUUUCUCUUAGCAGCUUUGACUACAGCUGAUCUCAUGGUCUAUAUAGUUUGUGCCAAAUGGUACAAGUAUAUCAAGUUUGAAGCAAAGGGAGGAGAUGAUCAAAAUGAAUGUAUUAGGCAAGCUGAACUUGGAGUCUGAUCAUUUUCUGAAAUAUUUUCAACAUAUCUCGGCAGAUUCUUCCUUUUAUUAGAGCAUAUGAAAUGUUAAUGCGCAACUUGUGGGUGGGACUCGAGAAUUUCCACUUGAAAAUAAGAUCGAGACGAAUGGCUCUAGACUGAAUGAUAUUGGACCAUUUGUUUCGGUAGAGAAAACAUUGCUUGCGGUGAAACUAGAGAAAUGCUUUUUUCAUUUCUCCAAGCUGAGCGAAAUGUGUUGUACAAACUAUGUCUUCCAUUCAAGAAUAAAUUACAUUUUUUCUGUUUUUACAUUCUAUGAUAUUACACUUCAAAGUGGUUGCCUUUAUUUUUUUUUCUUUUCCUCUCAAAUUUUUACAUCAUAAUAUAUCAAUGAUCCUUGAUCUAUAUUUAGUGUAUAAUGAACCCUAGUAGAGCGCGACUCUAUUAGGGGUGGGAGAUUGCUGCCGUUGGCCGAGUUUCUCUAAAUUUUUCCCAUUUCGAUUCCAUCUUCAGGGUCAGUUGUGAUCGUGGUGGGUGAUCAAUCGAAUGUUGACCAAGAUUGUCAUUGACAUUCCAAAGCCCCUCACAAAUGAGUUAAGUGUAUGUAGCUAGUAAUUAGAUCAUCCACAACAAGAGUCACGCGUCUGGGUAACUUUGAUUUUUUUGACACAAGGGAGAAGCAAGAUAAAGGUUUGUUGUCUGAAAUCAUAAGUUUUUACCAAAUUAUGGCAGCUUUCACAAUCAAACCAGUGUAUAUUCACAUAUCGGUAUGUUAUUUAUUGAUUGGAUACUUUAAAAUGAGAAGAAAAUCAACAUCAUGGAAAUCUAAGAGGAGAAUACAUGGAGAAAUUAUUAAGAUGGAAAAAAAAAAUAAUACAUAAAUUUAAAUAGCAAAUACGAAAAGAGAAAUUUUAUUCACACAUGACUAAAUACUAAAUACACAUCUCACACUUAAUACACUACUAAAUAAUUUUAUAAUAUUAACAUUUGACUAGAUACACAUCUUUAAACUUCCUAAACUACCCUCAUUCAAAAUAUAUCAAUAUUACCAUAUAUUUUCUAAAUACACAUUCAUUCCUUUUUUAUAUCAUCUCGACUUAGAAAGAAAACAAAAACUUUUUUUUUUAGAAACUUAAGAGCAUUCAAACUGCUCCAUCAUGAUUGAUUAAUAUAUGUAGUAUCAUUUGCAUAUUUAUUAUUUUGGAUGUUUUGCACCUAAACAUGUUUUAGAUCAUUGCAAAAUAGAUGCCAAAAUAGAUCACCAGUCUCUUAUGCUUGAAAACCUCGAGCAUGGAUACUCCACUUGUUGGCAGGAUAGACAAUAUCAUUCUAAGGCAUGGUCGAAGCCAACUAAAAACCUUCAUUUGCUUGGGUGAAUCCAUUAUUAUGAAUCAUUAAGCUCUUGCCUAUGAGACCAUGAUUAAUUCUCGAUCAAUUCGGUUAAAAAUAUGGCUAUUGUUAAGUUUUAAGUUGAAACUUCAUUCAUGUAGAAAGAAUAAAACGUUAAAUUGAGAUGUAGUGUAUUUCAAGUUUUCAAUAAUAUUAUCUAAUUAAUAUAUAUAUAGACCUCUUUUGGUAAUUUAAUAUACUUAAACUUUUUAACGUUAGAUGUAUUAAAAAAAAGUAAUGUGUAUUUAAUAUUUAGGAGUGUGUGAAUAAAAUUUCUCAUACGAAAAAGGUUCAAAAUACAUAACAAAAGUAUUUGACACAAGGGAGAAGCAAGAUAAAAGUUUGUUGUCUGAAAUCAUAAGGUUUUACCAAAUUGUGGCAGCUUUCACAAUCAAACCAGUGUAUAUUCAUAUAUCGAUAUGUUAUUUAUUGAUUGGACACUUUAAAAUAAGAAGAAAAGCAACAUCAUGGAAAUCUAAGAGGAGAAUACAUGGAGAAAUUAUUAAGAUGAAAAAAAAAAGAUUUUUUUUGCAGAAAUUUAAAUAGCAAAUACAAAAAAGGUUCAAAAAUACAUAACAAAAGUAGAAGGUUUGCUACUCCUCCUCGUCCCUCCUCAUGCACGCCCUACCUCAUAUGCCUUAUUCUUCCUUUUACACUGCCUCACAAGGUUCUCGGUCAGCAUACAAGCAUUGAAAUUGUAAACAUAUAAACCAAUGUGUAGAGCCGAAAGAAACCGGAAUGACAGGGCAAAAUGAUGAUCUCAAUGACAGAUAUAAUAACUCCGUAGACAUCCAUAAUCCAUCUUAUCCUCCUCAACUUGACUUUUCCAUUCUUAAAAAGUGGGUGGUUACUACUCCACUGCACCACAACAAUCUCAAUUAGGCUCAUCAUGAGGAGAACAAUUGUGAGAGCAAGUUCACUCCAUUUCAUCUUAUGGUUCCCUUUUUUCUGCCUUUCUGUAAGUGGCUUAACCAUGGAGAUGUAAACCUCGAUGCUGAUUUUGAUCAAGAAGAACAACCACUCCUUGAUACUGAGUUUGUUGGUCCCGACCAACCUUUUGACGUCCUCAGCGGCCUCGGCACCAGCUGCAUUAGCACCGGCCAUGUAAUUGUUUAGCCUCGUUGAGUUACCUCUAAAACUCUAUCAUUCUCAACCAAAUCUCUCCCCAGCCGAAUUCCCAUUCUCUCAACCAACAAUUGAAUUUCUCGAACGCGAGUUAGACCUACUUCAUUUUUCUUGGUUAACACUCUUCGGAUCUCAAAAUCAACUAGGUUCGCCAGCCGCGUUUUUGCCUCCCCAUAGACGACUCCACGGAUGGUGGCGUAGCCUCUGAUAUGAAAAAAAAUUGUUGGAAUCUAAAAAAAUGUUAGUAGUUGACGGAAUGAUAUGUUGUUUAUGUCAAUUUUGAGCACAUGGAAUAACAGAGAAAAUGGUUUGGAUUGAAGGUAAAAGAUCCUAGUGCUGCACGAGCAAGAGAUGAUAUAAAUUAUAGAAAUGGAAGAUUAUCGGCAAAAAAAAAAAAAAACAAACGCAAGAUGAGUCUUUCUUUGAUUUUUUUUAUUUAUUUGUGUGUGUGAUGACCUAUGAAACUAUUGGUGAUAGCUAAAAUGUAUUCAACCAUUAAUGUAAUAUUUUAAAUGCUCUGCUUUAGCCACUUAUUCUAUCAUCCGCUCCACUAAAUACUGCACAACAAAGAAGUAUAAAGAAGUCAUCUCAUCCAUAACAUUCUAAAUCGACCGACAUUCAAGUGAAGACAAUUAGUAGGUACUUAACUAAGCUAACCUCUGAACAUAGUUAUGAGGUAAGCUCUGAAAUCCCUAACAUUUUUAGAUGCAAAAGUGUAGGUUAAUCUUUAAAUGUAUAUAUGGCCUUACUCGGUAAAAUCGAUAGUGCUUUAGCUCAGUCUCCAGCUAACAAUACGUUUUUAAAUAUAGAUUAACAAUAUAUGACUAAAUAAACAAAUAAUUCCAAAACAACAGAUGUUGAAUGAGUUUCUGAGAUUUAUGACAAUUAUCUUAUAAGACUCUUCGUCUACAAAAUCUCCAGCAAGCGUUUUGAGUUCAUUCAGGGUUGACUGUCUUCUUUCAACUCCGUAAAUAUCACAUAAUUUCAUUUCUAGCUGCAAUAUACGUAAGAGUAAUUUUAAAUAUAUACCCUUAAUAUCUUAAUACACUCCUUACUUAAUACACUACCCAUCUCGUUUUUCAAUUCAAUAAUAUACUAAACACACAUCACAAACUGCUUAAAAUACCCUCAAUAUCUAAAACUAAUAAUAAUAUGUUAUUUAAUAUAAUUAUUAUAUAUUUAUUAUUUCACAACUCUCUUUAUGUAUUAUUUUUUAUUUUCUGUUAGAUUUUUUGGAUCGGGUUAGAAAUUUUUUCUUGAUAUUUUUCAAUUUAUAAUCAAAAGAGUAAUAUUAUAUUCGAACUCCAAAUCUCCAAUAAAUAUAACAUCAAUCGGCUAGAAUUUGAAGAAAAUAAAAAUAUUGGACAUACAUAAUAUUUUCAAAGUUAAGAAACUAGUAGAAGUACAAUAGCAUAAAAAUUAGUUUUUAGUCUGUAAGAUAAAAACUAAAAUUGAUAAAUAAAAAAACCAAAUGAAUCGGUAAAUAGUACAUGUGAUUACGACAGUAGUCAAAAUUCAGGUGAUGAAUUUUGAAGAAGAAAUUUUUAUUUCUUUUCUUUUGAUGCAUAGUAAUAGUGGAGAAGAGUUAGGUUUUAGGGAAGAGGAAGUUUCUUUUUUUCCCUAAUAAUUGAUGGAUGUUUUUGUAAUUAAACAUACUUAUAAAAUCUGAUGUGAAAUAUAAAAUAAUAGGGGUGUGUAUUAAGAGAUUAGAAGUGUGUAUUUAAAAUUUCUCUAUACAUAAAAUGUUUAGACAAAAAAGUAAAUAAAAGCAAAAACUUGUUAUAAUGUGCAAGCUUCGAACUCAUGCCACCUCUUGACAGUUUUUUAAAAGCAAAAAUAAACUUCAUACAAUUAUGUCAGAGGGGCACAUCACUCAUUGUUCAUGAAUGUGACUCCACCAUUGGGUAGAAUGCCAACAUUGAUGAAGAGGUCACAUUCGACAAAGGACCAGUAAGCAUUUUGGACAUGAAAAAUCAAGUUUUACGUAAGAGGCAACAUGAAAUACAGAAGUCACGAUGCGAGAAACGUAUCCUGAGCUUUUUAGUUCACCAGGUUGACUUCGAAAUUUCGAGGGUAAAUUUUUUACCCGAGUAAAGUAUGUGACGAUUUUAUUUCAAAUAGGUUAUUUGAUCGGAUUGUUUCUUCCGAUCCUCAUACUCUUUUGUGUGUUAUAUUAUAUGAUUAUGAAUUGAUUUUGAUUUUCUUUUUUAUCAUGAACUAUUUAUAGUUUUAUAUUAAAAAUUUUAUGUACAUAUAGUUACCUAUUUAAUUAUUUAAUUUUCAAAGAAUGUUUGGUAAGGGAAUAAAAACAUCUAGAAAAAAACACUUUUAUUUUUUAACUAUGAAAGUAACAAUGUGGAUUACGAUGUCAUCAGCUAGAACCUCUCAAUACUGGAUAUAGCACAUGUCGUGGAUAACAAAACCAAAAGAAUUGCAUACAAGGAGCGAAUCUAUCCAGCUCCAGAGUUUUAAAGACGGUUGAUUGGUCUAUAUUAAGCUAAUUAGAAUCAGAAUUAUAUGACAUAAUUAUAAGCCAAUAAAACACCCACCAAGAUAAGCAACAAACACAUAAACGACCCAUAAAAUGAAAAGCACAAACCAUAUAGGCAGAGGAAAAACAAAAAUCCCAAAGAUCAUACUCCAUGAAGGAAAGCCAUCAUCAGCUGUAUCAGCAACAACUAUGGUCUCCUUGCCAGCUUCCUGGAUCUUCUUCUCAGUCACGUUGAUUGUUAUUUGAUUCGUUUAAUCCCAAUAACCUGAAGAGAUAAGGUUAUUGGAAUUAAACGAAUCAAAGAAUAUAUAAGAAGAAGACACGUCUUUCUUUCCUUUUGUUUUCAUCAUUCAAAAAACAAACAUCUCUAAACACAACAAAUAACUUAUCCGAGUUUCAUACAUACUCUCUAGCAAGAACUGUGAAUUCGUUUCGGACUUCCAGUCAACUUUCUAAUUUCAACUUUGUAAACACCUGAAUUCAACUUCACCAGCACAAGUUGUCCUCUUAUGAGGCUAUUAAAAGCCUGGUUAGUUGUUGUCUCAUCAAGAAAAUUCAUACAUCUAACAAUCAAGUGCGCAUGAACUCUAAGCAACAACUCCUUGAGAACACCACAAACUUGUUUUUCAAUGAGUUUGGUCAACAUCUCAUCAUUCUCUACUACAUAUGCGAAUUGUCUUGUGAUACACAACAAUUUGGUAUUCAAUUUGUUAAUAAAUUGUUGAUGAUUGUCAACUAAGUGUUUGAUCAUGUGAUAAUUUUCCUCUUCAAUGAUUAGACCAUUUGGAGAUAAAGUUGUCCAUUAAAUGAAAUCUCCAGUAUAUGAAUUAUUUACCGGAUACUACAACACUUCGCUUCAAGUAAGAAAGCACCUCAAGAGGUGUUUCAAGAAAACUUUGUGUCAACAGUGUGACUAAGUGUCUGUCAGCAGCUUGUGCUCUCGUCCCAGACGCCACUAUAUCACCACUUUCAUAUGCAUUAAUAUCAAUAAUGUCAAUUAACUCGAUAUAAGGUAAUUUAUUUCUUCUGGCUCUCUUUGAUCUUGUCUCUCAGAUACUCAUGUUUGUGUUUCUUAAGCUUUGUAGUCAUUUUAUACAAUUUUUUGAAUUUUGAGCUUCUGUCCGUGCUAACUCUAACAUCGCCUCCUCACAUAAUGCAACGUUACCUGUCGUUGUUGCACAUAUCUUGUCAGUUACUGUGUAUCUGUUAAUCAUUUCCUUCAUGUAUGUAAGAUAUUACAGUCGUCCCCCUUAAAACUUUUUAGUUGUGUCUUGAUCAAACGUGAAAUCCAUCUUGUCCCAAAAACAACAACACUCAAACUUUUCCUUAAGUUUAGGUUGUGCUUGACAGAGACAGAUACAAACUUAAUCAUAGAAGAAAAUCAACCAUUAGUCUCCCUUGAUAAUAACAACAUUAUUUCUUCUUCUUUCUCAUUAGAAUUAGUUUUAUUCUGCUAAUCCAAGUGUAGUCAUGUAAGUUGAAAUUUCUAUUAUUUCAUAACUCUAUUUGACCUCGUUAACCAAUUCCAAAUUUUUUUUUUUUUAUGGUGACUUGGUUACUAUGGUAGAUUGGGUGCAUGUGUUGCUUGAUUAUUGUUGAAGAUUUUGGGCUACUGAUUUCUUGGGAUUUAAGGCAGGGAAAACAAAUAUUUCUUUAUAGCUUGAGUUCUAAUUUGAUGUGUCUUUAGAGUGAUUGGUUGUGAUGUUUUCUCUACUUUUAUGUGCAAUCUUCUUAUACGAUUGGACUAUAGUGAUUGUUGAAUUUGAGUUUUAAUCAAAGUCUAUUACAUAAAGAUGUUCUAUAUGGUUUAUGGAGUAUUGAUCUCAUUUACAAUUCUACAAUUUCGGAAUGGUUUUCAACAAGCUAUUAAAUAUAGACUACGUUUUCAUUAAUUAUUUUGGUCAUUUAGUUUUGUUAUGAGAAUCUGUUUUAAUUUUGAGUAUAAGUGAAGAUGAUGAUUUAAAAUACACACAAGAAAGAUCUCAUGAUUGUUUUGUUUUAUUUUUGCAAGACCUAUUACCAGCAAACUGUCUAUGCAAACUAAAAAGUUUUACAACUUUAAGGACUCAUGUUACAACUUCGAGGAUUAAUAUUACUAGGAUUCAUUUUAAAUUUAGGAUAAAGUUGAUGCAUGUCAUGCAUUAACACUUUCAAGAAUUUUCCAUUAAAGCUAUGUUCAGUUUUGAUGUGGAAAUCAGCUCCUUGACAUAUCUUUUGCCAAAGAUCCGUAUAACACAACAUAUUCAAAUGUUUCACAGGUUGCCAGAUCACAUGCUGCUGGAUUCUGAUCACAUGUCGAUUCCUUUCAGUGAUAGAAGCCUGAUAAUCUGGUAAGAUCUUCGUGUUGCAAAUUAAUAAAAGUUGGAGUAAGAGAUGAUAUAAGGUAAAGAGAGGGAAGAUUAUUGGACAAAAAAAAAACAAUAAAUAUACAACAAAUUAAGAAGUAUAAAGAAACCACUUCACACAUAUCAACUUUUAGACCUUGCUAGUAGGUACUUAACUGACUUGAACUCUUAACACAGUUAUGAGGUCAGCUCUGAAAUCCCUAACAUUGUAAAUGAAGAGUGUCGAUUAAUCUUUAAAUCUGUGGCUUUAGUCGGUAAAAUCGAUAGUGUUUUGGCUCAACCUUCAGCUGACAAUAUGCUUGAUUUUAAAAACCAAAAACAAAUAGAUCAGGUUAAGAAUAUUUGACUAAAUAAACAAACAUUUUCAAAACAACAAAUGCUAAAUGAGUUUUCGAGUUCUAUGACAAUUAUCUUAUAAGACUGUUGAUCUACAAAAUCCCUAGCAAAGGCUUUGAGUUCAUUCAGUGUUGGCUCACUUCUUUCAACUCCGUGAAUAUUACAUGAUUUCAUUUUUAGCUGCAAAACAUGUCUUCUGCAUGUAAUAUAAGAAGUCUUAAAUAUUUUUGAAGCAAAAAAAAAAAGGUCAAUGCUAACUAGCCCUAAUUUUUUUUUAUGAGAAUUAAAUUCUCAAAAUUAAGGCUAGUGAGCAUUGACCUUGUUCGCUAGGAAGCCCAUAAUAGGCUUCAUGCUGGGUCGCUCAUGACUCAUUUAUAAUGAAGUAAUAUCACAAAUAUUCCUUAAUAAAAGAAAUAAAAUCAAAAACAAAGACUCUUUUGAUACUGGCUAGCUAGAAUAGUAAGUGCAUAAAAAAAAAGUAUGUCGAGAGAGAGUUUUCUCUCUCAAAACCCUAGUGUCGUCACCUUGGUGCGGCUCCCAAGGAGGACUCAAUUCCCUCCACCUAUUGUUUCGCCUUGCCAAUUAGGCCAAGAAGCCUCUCAGGUCACUCCUCGCUUUGGGGAAGGGGUUGCGCGGUAUUUGGCAAGGCUGACUUCUUGGUAUUGCUUUCCGCACACAUGGAGAGUCUAGGCUGGAUUUGAGAUGACUCUUCUUUCCUCUAGAGGGUGGCCGGUUUUCGAUGGCGGCACUUGGUUAGUAACAGCUAUUGUGCAAGGCGGAGACUGGGUUUGGCUUUGGUGGUUUAUGUCGAAGCCGGAAUCUUGGAUUUGGCUAGUGUUUGUGGCCUGGGAGGUUUGGAGAUUGAAUUUCGGAUAUCUAAUUCAAGGGAGUCGGUUCAAGUGGCUAGGAUGGACGCGAAAGACAACGACUGAACCGAACGGCGUGGGCGACGACGACGGCCUGCAUCUUUCUGAGUGGGUGUUCAGAUCACAUUUGGCAGAUCAAUCUUUGGGCUCCGUCCAGGCCUAAAUCUGGGUCAAAUUGGAUUUGAUUGUUGCCAUACUAUGGUUUUGGGUUUGGGACCAUGGCAUCACCCACCUACUUAGCCAUGGAUCUAAGGUCUAUCCAUGGCUCCGCCUGUCGGAGUAUAACCUCAAAGCAAAUCGCCCGAUAAAGGAGAGUAGAUUGGCCUUAGGUCAAUGGAUCUUGGUUCUAAGAAGGUGUGCUACCCUAUCGUUUUGGACUUUUGAAGACCUUGCAGCUGUUAUAUGUGUGGUAGACUCUUUCCAAUUUCCUAGUAUUUUCGUACACCAAUUGAGGUCCUUACGGAAAUUUAUUUAGCCUACUGUUUCGAGUCAUGUAACAUCUAUUUGGUUGAUAUUGUCUCUUAGUAGCAUAGCUCAUCAUCUUGUUAGCUAUAGGCGUGUUCUUGCUUGGCCUGUAUCCGCUCUAGAACAUACGUUGGACACCCCUAUAUUCGAACAUUGUCUAUUUUAUUAAAAAAGUUGUUCCUAAAAUUCCAAAAAAAAAAAAAAAAAAAAGGAAAGACCAAAGAACAAGUCAUAGUAAAAGGGAGCAAGGCUCCCACAUCGAAAAUAAGGAAGGGAAAGCCCCCUCCAAAUCAAGUAAGUCCACAUUUCCACUUUCUUUCCUUUUUGCCACGUCAAAAUAUUACUAACUUAGGCAUCAAACUGGUCGAACCCGGCACACCCGAGGUCGCCCUCUAACGUCUUGUCUCUUUUGACAAGUUUGAGAGGAAGGGACGUGACGAAACUCAUUUCCCAGAGACACACAGUCCGACCUCGGUUCCAUGAGCUGACCCAAAAACAAACCCUUUUUUUUUUCCAAAAAUGUUUAAGGUGGAGUCACUGGUCAACCAUGAGGGUGGUGUUUUGGAUAAAUUUUUGGCUAUGUGGCUAAAUUUGGAUGCUUAUUGAAUGUUUAUUUACAACUAGUCGUAAUUGGUGACAGCUCAUCUUAAAGUUGACUCUCUGUCUCUCUGAGUCAAAUAUCAGGCAGUGAAGUAAGAAAAUAGAAAGAGACUACUCCAUCUUCUUGAGAUCAUGCAUAUGUAAAUCACACGAACAAGGAUAGAAGAAUAAAAUUGGGUUUGCUAGUAUAGAGUUCGAUGUUUAGUCACCACACAGAACAAAAAUAAGUCUUGUACUCCAUGUUCACAGUUGUGCUAUGACUAGGUAAGCGUAUACCACUGAUUGGGAAUUGUUGUUUGUUGUAACGUAAAAAAAAAAAAAAUGUAUAUAUACAUACACUAAUCAGCUCAACUUUACAAGUGAAAUUGUUUAAAUAGCGCAAGCUAAUCUGCUGAGCUCAGACUAGAUUGUGCAGAUUUGUAGUAGAAAUUUGUACCCUUGUACUUGCUUUUUAGUGAAUUAAUUUAUGCCAGUGCGGUUUAUCGAAAUUUGUAUUCAAAACUAGUCGAUGCUUUAGAGUUGAUAUAGUACCAAUUACUGAAAUGAUACCGAAAAUGGUAGAAUUUUUCAAAUAAUGAAUCCAUUGGUUCGGUACUUGAUACUCUCUUAUGAAUGAAUACAUUGCUUUGUUUCAAGAAUAUUGAUGGUGCAAAAACCAAACAGUAGUAUACUAGGGAAAUUGGAAAAUCAGAAUACCAACUGUGCUGUUUAUGAUACACUAUAGUACACCACUACUUUUGACCACAUCAAAUUUAGAUUGUGCAUAGUUUUGAGGGAAAAAAACACCCAACAUCAAACAAACAAUGAAGCUAUGCUGUUCCUCAAUGAAAAAAUUAGUUUUGCUAUUAACAAACAUGCGCUGGGAAGGUAGCUCUGCAACAGUAACGGAAGCUGGAGGGGAGAUGGCGAACAUGAAUUGAUCAAUCAAUGCCCAAGGUGGAAUAGGGUUCAAAGCCACCCUGACAAAUACAAAAUGAAUAAACUCUCAGCGCUUGUUUUCUUUAGGAAAUAACAAAAGCUGUAAAAUGUCCCAUCUUCCAUAGUGUAGAGCUACAGUGGAAUGGUUGUGAAUUUGGAAUUUAAAAAGAGAGGGGGGAGAAAAGGAAGAGAAGAAGAAAAAGAUGAGAUGUACACUAAAAAUGGAGGUGGCUUCAUAUAGGUGAUUCUAUUUCAACAGGAUCCAUUUCACCAGUUGAAUGGAGGAUAAGGCUUUAUAAAGGCCGACCAUAUACAAUUGAAUGAAUUAAUGAAUUGAAUUUGUUUGAUAUAUAACAGGGUAGAAUUAACUAGUUUCAUUCCUAAUCAUAGGAAGCCAAUUUUACUGAAAUAUGCUACUCACAGAACAGUCAUCAUGUACACGCCAUAUGGUCUCUCCCAGAAGAUUUGCAACUGACAGGACAGUUAGCUGGGGAAAAUAGUUCUGCUCAGAUACUGGAAUAGUAUUUGUUAUGAUCACCUCUUGGAACAAACCGCUUGACAGCCUCUCUAUAGCAGGAGGACUGUAAAAGGAAAAUAUCAAAUUAAAUAUUCAUCUAGAUAAUAAGGAAACACAUUCACUGUUAUGGUCCAAAAAAAUUCAGAAAAAGUGAUGCUGGCAUCCAAAUGCAAACUGUUAUGGCUACAAAAGAAAUAAAAAAGUCAUAAUAAGAUUUUCUUUUUGGGCCAAAGUGUCGUAAUAACUCAACAAAGAGGUAAUCACCAAAUAAAGGGUUUACCUAUAAACUUGUUCCUUUCCAUGAGAUGUCAGUCACCUAAAAUUGACUGUAUGAUAUCAAAACUGCAUUUAUAUUAUAGAUGCAGUUGGGAUAGUUCUAUUGAUUCUUUUUUACUACUACAAAAAGAGUUACAAAUUACUAUAGGCAUGUUUAGUGUGGACAUAAACUCCAUUCUAACAAAAGAAAUUGAAUGGUCACUUCAGACCUCCAUCAGAGAAAGUAUUGACCAGAACUUAGCACGGGCAAGGAAAAAAUUGAUGACUAUUAAAAUGAUCACUUGAAGCAAAUAAUCUGGUAAGAGUUCGGCUGAUUAGUGAUCAUAAGUGACCCUAAAAGAAAGACGGAUACUAUACAGGAAUCUACCCAAGCAGAACCAACUAACUUACCCCAGAAGUAAUAAGUUACCAUCAACUCAAACCCCUAAAAAAACCAUAUAAAGGAAACAUUGAUAAAGUACCCACUACCCAGACCAUGCUGCCAUUGAGAAGUUAGGCUUAUUCUAUGGCAACCAAAUUUAUCUUCUCAACCCUAUCAUCAAAUUUCUUUACAACAGACCAUAUAGAGAUUCACAGUUCCACACUGCACAAUUGCAAACAGUAUAUCCCUGCUCCAAAUACCCCAAAAUAUCCUAUGCAAACAAAAUGAGAAAGUAUUUCAGCCAAAGCCAUACUACUCGGUCUACUUCCAUGGGUCCUAGUACAUGCAACCUAUUCCAAGACGUGAAAUGAAAAAACAAUGCACAAAAUAUGAAAUUGAAUAUCUAAGAAAGACAGAAUUUAUUAACUUUUAUAUGUAAAGAUUUGCAGAGGCAUCCUCUCAAAGCAAAUCUUACGGUUACAGCUUAGUCCCAGAUACACCAAAUAAAAUCACUAAAUGAGAAUAGCCCACUAAUCAGAAUUAGAAACGGAAAAUGGAUUUCCCUAAUAUUCUGAAGAAAUCAAUUUUCAAAAACAGUACACCACUAUAUACUUCAACCUCAGCUCCCUACUUUAGUGCAAAGGCAACACUAACCACCUCUUUACAUAAAAUACCAAACGGGGAGAGUAUGCUUUUCUGAAUCAUAUCUAGAGAACAGAUUUUUCUAUAUCCCAGCAGCAAUGCAAGAAUUUGUAAUUUGGUAGGUUUAAAACAAAAGGUAGGUUGUAGGUAUGAAGUAAUGUUAUAAAGUACAAAAAUAGCAUGAUAUGGAUUUUGAAAAUAUAAAAGAGAACAGCAAGUACAUAAAAUGCCCUGACAUAGAUAGUCCUAUUAUUUGUCAGACCAAACUAGAAUCAAUUGGGAAUAUGUUAAGCAGUUUUAGGCUGGAAUCAGCCAAUUAUAGAUGCUGAAAGGGCCUUUAUUGUGAGAUUGGGCUCAAUUUUCCCCUCCGCAGUAAUUUAAUACUUAUGAGAGCAUCCUUUGUAGUUUGUCCCCCUUGGGCAUCUUAAAUCCUGAGAGUAUGCCCAUAACCACCAAGAUACAUACUGAACCCCGACUAUUGAGCCCAGGUUGAACUACAACUACAACUGUAAUCUUCAAUGAGCUAGAAACUGAACUAUAAAUUCCUCUUUUUUAGAAGAAAACUAUAAAUUCCUUCAGCAAGAUGCCACGAGUAGUCUUCACCAAAACAUUAUAUCUCAGCUGUCAAAGAAUUCCAAUGCAUCCACAGUGGCAUUCCAAGUUUCUAAUAUAACUCUAAACCACUGAAGAUCCCACUCCAAACUAUGUGGGAUCAGUUGUUGGGCAAUCGAGAUGAGAUAUACAUCCACACCUCUAAUUUGAACAAGAUGACUACUGCUAUCCGAACCUGGAAUCACCCACUUAUGAGCACGCUACACUUUUACAAUUAAGGGAGACCCUCUCAAGAUCAAUUCAAUAUGCAUCAAACAAAAUCAACAACAACAAAGAAAAAAACAAGAACAAAAGUACCGAUUGUUGAUACUGGUGGAAACCAUAAAUGAUCAGACUGCUAAAUCGACAUUCUAUAUAUGUCAUACCAAAAGAUGAAAGUGGCAUUCAAGCACUACAAAAAUACCACAUACCUAAAAACAGCAUGUGUACUGCACGCAUAGACUUCCCUGGCCCCCUCUUGAUGUAGUAAUUCUGCACCUUUAGAAAUAGUCCCUAUAACCCACCAGCCAAACAUUAAUGUUUAUUGCAAGAAAAACAACCAAAAAUAUAGCUGCACAGACUAAUAAAGAACAAGAAUGAUCAUAAGAACAUCAAUCAAUUUUAUAACCAUGAUAGUGAAGCAAUAGUGAUAUGUCUAGUCAUAGCGAAAAUGGUUACAAAAUGUGCAAAGGAGAGGUUGCAAAACUUGCAACAUAAAUUGAACAAGUUUGCAUGGAAUGUUAAGAUCAUUUGUAUAAUGAAAUUUGACUGCUCACAACAGUUACAACAGCUCUUGCCAUCUGAUUUUCAGACUGUCAGAUAAUUUCCUGAAGUGGGAUUAUGCACAAAAGACAAGUUAAACCCACCUAUAUGACUAGCAAACGAAGAAUAACCCACUGCCCCAUGCCACCACAAUGCCCUUUAAAGGCAAUGCACUUGUAUAAAAUAUAUCCAACAAAAAGGAAGAUACUACCAAUCAUGAUUUACAGUUGAAAGUUGAAAAAUUUUAAAUCAAUUACACCCAUAAAUUCUCCGAGUACAUAGAAAAUGUCCAUGUUAAAGACACCUACAAUGGUUUCUAACACUUGUAGCAGUCUACUUCUUUUCUUCAACAAAAGAUAUUGACCGAUCUUUUGAGCACGGCCAUUUACAAUUUACUACCCUAACAAUGAAUUUCCUAUCACCUCUCUCAUCUAACUAUGUGGAUUAUGGUUUACAAUUACAUGCAUGCUCAAGAUGCUAUCUACUGUUUCAAUUUUAUCUAUAACAUUAAAACAAAUGUACUAUUAGGUUCUAUUUUAUACAACAAAUUAUAGUAUGUACAAACUAACCGGCUGUAUCAAUCAUGUCAUCAACCAUGACGGCUACUUUUCCCUUCACGUCACCUAUCAAAUUCAUCACCUGCAAUAUAAAGAAAUUCGAUAAUGAACUGAUGAAUUGAAAGAUAUAUUUGACUAAAACAUUACAACUUAAACAUAUUUUAUAGAAGAUGACAAAACAAAAACAAAAAAUACAGAAAUGAAAAAAGCAGAGUUACAUAAGUGUGCCAUUGUGAAAAUCAAGAGAAAUUUUCUCACAAGACGCAGAACUUGAAACCGUUAGCUGCAUUCAUGAUUUCAUAUAGCCUUAACAAACAACCUUUUACGUUUUCAGACCUAUUAAUAGAUUUUGAGAUUGAUUUUGAGAAUUUGUCCCAACUCCUGCGUCACACAUACUACUGCUAAGUGAGUGUCCUCAUAGACUAGGGCCAUUUAGUAGUCUGUGUUGAUUUAUUAUUUGAGAACUGCUUCCAGAAGAGAGCAAGAGGAUAGUCAGGUGACAAAUGGAUGUUUUUUUUAAGGGAAAACUUCCAUUCCUACAAUGGGUACUAGUAGCAUCUAUCUUCAUUCAUUUCUUUACAUAGAUUUUCAAGUAGCAUGAUUAGGAGGUUAAAGAAUAAUAUGAAUUGCAUGGAAGGAGUGAUGAAGGGACAAAGGAUUAUUUAAUGAGUGGGAAUAUUUUGCAAAGGUAAAAAUAAUAAAAUUGCACUAUACAGGAACCAGAGAACAGAAUAGCAAAAAUACCCCUACAAUAUUGAUGAGUUAUCACGAAAUGUUUAAAGCUUCACUGCAAUCUAGCAUCUUAUCUUGGAGUCGCCCAUAAUAAUAAAGUGAACUGUUUUAUUGCAAGUUCCUUUUUGUGCAACAAAACAUGAAAUUUAUGUGGUCAUUAAACAUCACCGGUUUAUCAAGCUUUAUAUAGAACAUGACUACAUUAUCAGAUUUCAGAAUUAUUUCUCUCAUUUAAUACUUUGUGAUAUUAUGAGAUUAUGAGAUUCAUAAUUUAACUCUGGAACGAACGUCAGCCUCAUGUAAAGUAGUUCAUACCUCUGCCACAUUGUGCCCAUGACGCCUUUUAUCAACAAUUGCCAAAGGAGCAUCAGAUAACUUUUUUGCAAAAGCACGGGCUCGAGCAACACCCCCAACAUCUGGUGAGACCACUACCAAAUCAUCAGAACAGAUAGUCUUGCUGGCGAGGUAAUCAAGUAUCACAGGCUGAUUGAACAUGAUGAAAAGUAAGAAUCAUUACAAAUCAGAACAGAACUUUGGUCAUAUUUAUUAUAUGAAGAUAGUAGACUUUUAUUAUUUGCUACAUCUUUAAAUAAAGUCAACAGUAGUGGAGGCAAAAAGCCUAUUUAAACAAGAACAAGACAAACUUCUUAUAAAAAUUUCUAUACUGGGAAAGACAAUACUCACUAGGACCAGCAUAUAUUUUACCCCAGACAGAGGCACUGACUAGACCAAGGAAAGCUAAGUUCCACAACUAAUAUACCAUCUAUAGUCAAUAAACUUUGGUCAUACUGCAGUUUUAUUCCUUGUAUGUUGACAAAUUUGUGUUUCUUACACAGUGCUUAUUAUUUUAGGAUGUACAAUCGCCUUAAGGCUUACAUUUAAGGUUUUAAAAUCUUGUAUUUGGGAUUACUAGGCACAAGCAUAAGCCUAUAUAAAAGCACUUUGCUCUUCUCCACAAUCAUUUAAAGUGCCUUAACCAUCCAGCAGAGGAGUGAGUGGAUAGACCCGUACACAAAACCAAUCUUACUUUACAAAGGUGAAUUACAUUGAAGCAGGACAUGCACACACUAACACACUUACAAUGCUAUCCAUACAUUCUAGCAGUAGUUUCCGAAAAAGAAAAAAAGAAGAAAAAAAAAGGAUUAUUCUAAAUACAAUUUUUUAAUAGUAUAAGAAAUAUCUCUUUGAAGGUCACACACAUAAUCAUUCCAGGUUGCCAAGUAAAGGACUGAAGAAUCUUAUAAGAGUCGAACAUCCUGAUCCAUGGACUACGAAUAGAAAUGCCCCCAAGUACUACAAGACCGUUACCUGACCAUAUACAUGAUCCACAGGAAUAUCAAAGUAUCCCAUCGAUUGACCGGAAUGAAGAUCACACGCAAGAACACGAUUUGCACCAGCUUCGGUGAUCAAAUUUGCAACAAGUUUGGCAGCAAUAGAUUCACGCCCUUGAGUCUGAAACAAAGAGUAAUGACAGUUAAUAAUCAAAACAAAAAUAUGAACUUGGAAUCAGGUAACUCAAAUUCAAUACUGACCAGACUUUAUUUUUAUUUUUAUUUAGAAUGACUUAAUUUACCACGUUGAACAUAUGUACAAGCUACUAUAUGAGGAUUCGAAAGUGAAAGAUUUCAUGAUUUCAGAUCCAAGUCUGUAAACUAACUAUACUGACUAAACUUGAGUAAAUAUGAUAUUCAACAGCAAUCUUACUACUGCUGAGAAGUUUCUUAAUGCACCUAAAAGUCUCCAUUUAAGGAUCCAACUCAGGUUUCCCUCUAUAAUGAUAAAUCCACAUAUAGAGGACUUCUAGAUAGGGAUUCCCUCCUUUUUCUUUUCUUUUUUCUUUUUUUCUUUUUUCUUUUUUCUAUUUUAUUGAGAACAAAAAUAGCAUCAUAUAUUAGCCAAAUCAAAAACCGUUUAGCCAUGUAAACAUCACCUCAUAAAUAGACAGUGUUUUAAACACUAAAAAAACCAUACUGGUAAUCAAAUGAUCACACAACGUAAUAGAAACAAGUUAAUCAAAUAGUAAACUAUUUCUGCUUUGCUAAAUUUAGCAAGGAUUAUUUUUAUUAGGGGAUAACCUUAUGGUUCAUGGUGGCACCAGAAGUGCCAUCACUUCUUAAAAAAAGGGAGACACCUGAUGGAGGGGACCUUAUAUAUUAGGGAGGAGGCAAGAAAGCUGAAUGAGGCAAGAAAGCCGAAUAAAGGUAGUAUAAUUAUAAAAAGAGAAAUGAGGUACCGAUUUCAUGUUACACACAUUAAAAUACCUAGUCCAACACCAAUUUGUUAUAUGAUCUUAAGCCCCCAGUCUAUCAGUCAGAUGACAAUUAAUUCAGGCCUGUGGAUAAUAUGUAAUGAAAAACUCUGCGUCAGAAAUACCUAUUAGUCAAAAUUAUACUGGGGGACACUCGUGCAGUCAUCAUAUCAUUACCAAAGCUCUGAAACUAUUGUCAAGCAAUGCACCAAAUAUGAAAACUAAAAGUCCAGAUUCGUUGCUCGUUUCAUUAUAUUACCUUUCUGUCAGCCCUGGCAUAUCCAAAAUAUGGAAUCACAGCAGUAAUGUUCUUGGCUGACGCCCUUCGACAUGCAUCAAUCAUUAUUAGAAGCUCCAUUAGAUUCUCAUUUGCAGGAGGACAUGUCGGUUGCACGAGAUAUACAUCACACCCUCUGACACUUUCUUGCAACUGAACAUAUAUCUCUCCAUCAGCAAAGCGCUUUAUCUUAAUCUUUCCAAGUUCAAGACCCAUGUAGCAUGCAAUUUCCUAACAAAAACACAAGACCACAUCAAAAACAGUGCAUUUUAUGUGGUUAAUAUGCACAUGCAUUGGUCCUGUACUUUGGAAGAAAAUUAUUCCAAGGACAAGUCCUCUGAAUCAGAAAAUCUUCUAAUGUCCUGGGACAUAUAUCACUUCUUUAGCCUAUGUUCAACAUGUUUUGUUUAAAACCAAUUGAGGGCAUCAAACAUCAUCCCUCAUAUAGAGUAGCCUAGCUAAGAACAUGAUCAAGAAUUUUCUAUGGAGAGAAAAUCUCAAUAUCUGCCAAACGCCGUAAGGUAUUUCAGGAUGGUAAGCUUUCUCUUGGAAAUAAUAUUCCCAAUAGAAGCGUAUAUACACACCAGAAGACAAAGAGGUAACGUUAAUGGAUAUCAUCUUCUAGUUAUAUACAGCAUAGAUACAACAAAAAUUCAGAUCCAUUCUCAGACAAAGGACAUUACGUAGGCACCAAUGCUUCACGUAACACAACGACGCUACAUAAAAACGACAAACUCAAGUAAUCAACAGCACUUCUUCAUUAUUAUUAUGUGAACAGUCCUACCCCAUUUGAUCAAUACAGUUAUCACUCAGCAGUCAAAAUAACAGAAUAACAGAUAAACUACAACUGAAAACUACUAGAAAGGUGUAUAUACCUGAGAGAGGGACGGAUUAGCGGUACCGGAGAAUAUGCGGAGCCUGGUGUCAUCCUUGGUAGCUGUAGUGAGCGCAUGUCUGGUGAGGAAAUUAGGGACCAUCUCAUCGCUGCGGAGGAGGGGAAUGCUCGGCUUCCCAUUCGCGUAUUUCAGAGGCUCCCCCACACUACACCUCUGCAAGAAGCAAAUGAAAAUCGAAGUGAGAGUCUGAAAUUGAAACAAAAGAAGAAGAAGAAGGAGAGAGAGAGAGAGAGCUUACGAAGCGUGUUGGGAAUGAGGGAGAGGGAGAUGAGUAUGGAGGAAGGAGAGUGCGAGAGGAGAGAGGCGGUGAGUGGAGCAGUGAGGCCAUCUUGGGUUUGUGUUUUGGGGUUUUAGGGAAGGUUUUGAGGAGUGUUGAUGUGGGGGUGGAGUUGCAGGGAAGACAGGCGUCGCCCGUCAAUUUGGUACCAACCAACUCUAGUCUAGUCUACGAGAGCAAUUUAUAUUUCUUUGUUUCUAUUUCCCAUUUUUUGCACAGCAAAAAUACUUUUUUCUUUUUUCGGUCGAAAAAAGGGCCUAGUUUGAUGUAAGGUGUGGUACUCUUUUUCACUUGCUUGAUCGGACAGGGUUUUGAUGUAAGCAACACAGAGAGAAGGGGAUCAGUCUCUAGUCCGAAUCAUGGAUGAUAGGUGGUUGCCUAGACUAGCACCUUUUUUAAUAUGAUUUUGCAUAAUUUAACUAUUCAAAACCGGUAUGUGUCACCAAAAUUUCAUAAGAGAUCUCUUAUCAUUCCGAGAAUGAAUGCAACGUGAACCUCAUCUACCAAAAUUUUUAUUGUAAUGCUUUAAAUUUUUUUUUUUUUUUUUUUACGUAAUGAGAAAGGAGAACAGAGAGAAACAAAUGAAGCUACAGACAGCCGAGUUUCACAACAAAAUAAAGGAAAGAACUAAUGAGGACAAGAUAAACCAUCAUAGACCAAAACGUUCACCAGAGAGUUUGGAGGAUUUAAGGCAAGGGCAGCGAGGUGAUCCGUAGCACGAUUUGUCUUCUUGCUGGUCCAAAGCCAGCUGAUUUUCCGAGUUGAGGAGAUUGACAGUGCUUGAGCGAAAAGAUUGGCUACUUUCCAAUUGGAGGGAGUGAUGCCUAAUUUGAAUAUAUCGAUCAAAAUUUUUGAGUCUGAAGCAAAAAUUACUAGACCUGGAGAAUAUUGCUGAGAAGAGUUAAGCCAUCAAUGAUUGCAAUCAGUUCGGCCGUUAAUGGAGAACAGGCAAAAGUGACUCUAGUGUGGCCUGUAUAAUAGCUCCCUUGUGGUUUAUAACUAGGACUGCAAUACCUCCUAGCUUUGAUUCAGAGUUCCAUGGUGCAUCAAAGUUGAUUUUUAAACUGUUUGGAGGAGGAGGAAUCCAGAGACUUGAGGAAGUGGAAUGGUUGGAAGCAAAGGGAGUAUCAGACCUGGGUUCAAGAUGUUGACUUUUUUAUGGUUGGGCAGUGAGGAAUUCUUGUGCAGUAGUGUGAUCCCUAAGGCUAUCUGGAUUGGAUCCAGGGAUGUAUGAUUGAAGACACUUCUACAACGAUUGAUCCAUAUUCCAAAGAAAGAACGAGGUGAGAGAUUGCAAUGGCUCUUGAUAACCAAAGGGAUGAGCAAACCAUGUAGCAGAAACCCAAGGACAAGUGCAGAGGACAUGUUCAAUGGUUUCUGGGAAUUGGUUAAAGACUGGGCAAAGACUCCUAGUGAUGUGUAAACUGUGAAGGGCAUCUUUUGAGGCUAGGAUAUUAUGGAGAGCUUUCCAUGGAAAAAUUCUGAUUUUGGGGGAGUAUGGAUUUUUGCUAACCAUUUACAGGUUUUGGAAGAGGGAAAAUUUGAAUGGUUGAGAUGCACACCUGACGCAUUGUUUUCCCUUGAGACUAAAACAUGGUAGCCAGACUUGACAUAAUAAUCACCAUUUGGGUUAUGAGGCCAAAUCAAUUUAUCUGGGAGAACAUGUUGAUAAUACGAAUUGAACAGAUAUUUGUCUCGAUCUCCGGUGAGAUGAUUUCAUGGACAGGAGAUAAAUCCCAUGAUCUCGUUUGUUAGUUGAUUAGAGAGGCAACUUUGGUAUUGAUCUGCGAAGCUUUUUCCUUGCACAAGGGGGAAUGAUUGAGGCUUGGGAUCCAACGAUCUGACCACAAGUUUAUUGAAUCCUCAUUCCCUAUAUUCCAAAUGGAGUUUAAAUUGAUUAGCUCUUUAAUUUGAUUAGACAAGCAAGUGCAUUAUACUAAAAUAUCAGCUAAUGAGGAACUUUUGAUAGUCCCAAAUAUAGAUUUCGUUGAACAUAUUGAGAUAUAUCGAAAUAUAUAAAUUUUCGGAAAAAAGAGAGGCAAAAUGUAUGAAACUUAUGAUAUAGUAUAUACAAGAAAUGUACAUAUGUUAACUGGUUGUGUCUUACCAGAGUUGGUUAAAGUGUUCAUGUUCGUCCUUGGACGUCUAGGGUUUGAUUCACGUUAACUACGGUUUCAAUUUUGUCGGUGAUAUUAAGACAUGUACCGUGAUUCUCACGUUAAUUUUAUCAAUUUCGUGAUAUAUCGAGAAAUUUCUAAAAUAUUGUGCGAUAUUGUCUUGGCACCAUGAGAUCGAUAGUUUCAGACUUUCGGAAGUACAAAAGAAAAUGAUAAUUUCAACCAAAUUUUGCCAAUAUUAUCGAUUUUAAAGACCUUGAUUAAGCAACCCAAACGGUAGAAGAAAAAAUCUGUUACAACUCACUACUUAGAUCAACCCUCAUAAUGGAACAAACGUAUUAGUCAAUAUAAUGGUCUUUAUAAAUUGAUAGAGAAAUUUAUUAAUAAUUCGCCAUUCUCUAAUCUAUCACUUUACAACGUGACCUUGUAAAUACUCUUCACUUUUCCUUCUGUGUUAUUGUUCUCCCCUCUACUGAUACGUAACUUUUCUCAACAAAGCAAAAAGGCUAGCUAUGAAAGUGAAAGGGGGUCUGUUGUUGUAUGCUACUAUGCUUGUAUGUUCUUUUUCAUUAGUUAUUCCUAUCUUGACCAUACUUUAGUGUUUUUGGUGGCAAACUUAUAGGAAACUAGAAAGAAAAAAGAGACCCUACUGUCCGAAAUGCUGGGGCGCGCGAGUUCUUCUUCUUCUUCAUUUUUUUUUUUUUGUUUCGGGUGGCAGUCUGUUGAAUAAAAUUGUGAAUUGGUGGAUGAAAUGUAACGCGUUGAAGUAACGCGGUUCAUUUACUUUUGCUUUUGGUAUUCUUUUUAUUUUAUUUUUAAAGUUGCUUUUGGUAUUCUAUGAUAAGAUUCUAUCCAUUAAUUAUUAUUAUUAUCUCUUCAAACUAUUUUUGUAAUUUUCCUAUUUGGAGCCAUAUUACUUUAUUAGUUGGGUAGGAUAAUUCUAAACCAUUAUUGCUGCCUUUUCAACUCUGAAUAUCAUAAAAAAACAAAGUUGCUGAAAUAAUAAGUUUUCUUUGUUUUUGAAAGAAAAAUAAUAAAAUUAUUUAAACCAACAAACAGAAAACAAUACGAUGAUAGGUCAAGCGAGUAAAAAUUGUGGCCGAACAUGAGGAUUCAAAGCAAAAAUUGAUGAAAAUGAUUAAUUUUAUGUGAACGAGCAAUAGAAAGUAAUAAUUUAACAUACAUUUCUCUCAGCUUUUUAGUACAAUGUUCUUCUCAUUUUUAUUGUUUUUGAAAUUUCACAAGCUUUUGGGACAACAAUGUUUUGAGGAAAAUACUCUAUUCAGCUGAUAUAAAAUGACACGUACGUUUCCUUACUUAGAAUGAAAAAUAACUAUAAAUUAAAGAAAAAUGGAUAAAAAUAUAUAUUAUUUUUGGAACGAUUGAUUUAUAAACUUGUCUCCCCCUUUCGUAAACCUCAUAAGAAGAGUAGACGUACUUCUUCUGAAUAAUUUAUAUGUUAAUAAGUGCAUAAAUACUUUUACCCAGAACCACUCGUAUUCUUCUGCGUAAAAACCAUAUGUCGUCCCACCCGAAGUUGUACUGAAUUAGUUUUUCGGGCUUUUAUCCCUUUGACGUGAGUCACGUGACCAUGAAAAAUUUCACACGCAUUUGACGACAAAAAAAAAGAAAACCGGAGAGCGCGCGUUUGCGUGUGUUUUUAAUGCCGAUAAGUACAAGGAAAAAGAAGAGAGAGACUCUUAUAAAUACGAGGAGAACAACAGAGAGAAGCAAAGGAAAUUGCUUCAAGAAGAAACUGUGAAGAGUAAUAGCACACCCUCCAAUCAAUUAGGUGACCAAAUCUCUAUCCAAAUUCUCUUCUUUCUCUCUUUUGCUUCUGGUACCUGAUCUUUGAUUGUAGUGACAACUCUUUUGUGGGUUUUGGGGUUUGUUCGUUCUAGUUUUUCUAUGUUAGCUUUUUAUGAUGAACAUGGGUUUUCUUUGUUUGAGUAUGAAUGCUAAGUUGGUCAUGCAAUGUACUAAUAUAUUGAUCCACACAGAUUUUGGGGGCUCUGUGUAGUUUAGUUUUGCUCAAGAUGAAGUCUUUGUUAUUUAAAGUUUGCGUAGAAGUUCUUUAUAUUAUCUGUUUUCAAUUUUGAUAAAAGAAAUUGUGUGAAGAACAUGUAAUAGUCAUGGUUGCCCAGAUUUAAGAAUCUUUCCAAGAUUUUGGGUUGUUCUUGGUUGAAUUGAUGGAUUAGGAGGGCAGAGUAUGAUUUGAUUUAAGGGUUGCUUUGUAGAUGAUGACUUUUCUAUGUUGAGUUCUUUUGUUUGAUAUUUUGAAUUACAAUUUGAUGUAGGCAGUGGUUUCAAGUUGAAGUAAGAAGGAAGUUGCGAUGGAUAACAAAGACGAUCAGAAUAACAAAGACAAAGGGCUGUUUUCACAUCUUGCUGGAUAUGCUACCGGACACUACCCACAGCAUGGAGGAUCAUACCCUCCUCAAGGAUAUGGAUAUCCCCCACAAGGGUAUGGAUACCCCCCUGCAGGCGGCUAUCCUCCUCAUGGCGGUGGCGGCUAUCCUCCACACGGUGGCUAUCCUCCACAUGGGGGUUAUCCUCCAUCCGGAUAUCCUCCCCCUGGCGGAUAUCCACCAGCUGCUUAUCCCAGCCAUAGUGGAUAUCCACCAUCUGGGUAUCCCGGUGCACAUCAUACAGGUAACUAGUGUUUUGUGUUAUUACUUGUUUAUAUGUGAGUUGGGUUCAGCCUAGGUUGUGUCAUUUAACUGAUUACACUGUGGUGUGUAUACAUUACAAUGGCCAGUGGAUUGUGUUUUCGCCUAUCCUUUAUUUGUGUCCCUCAAAAAAAUGGAAAUCGACUAUCUGAAACUUGCCUAGUAUUUCAGAAGUAGAACCAUUGAUAGAUGCAUUUCACUAAUGAACAUGUGAAUUUUGGUUGUUUGGAGCACUAGAUUGCCUAUACCUUUCCAUGUGAUUUGAUAGAUCACCAGCAUCAGUUAAACUUCCAGAAUUUUGACUAUUAGCUGUAUAGAACCAAAAGAUUUUUAGUAGAGUAGUAUGGUACAUGUCAUGGCUUCAUUGCAAGCUUUUCUGACAAGAUAAUGUAACAGGGCAUGGGCCUAACAUGGGAGGUAUGUUAGCUGGGGGUGCUGCUGCUGCAGUUGCUGCUUAUGGGGCUCACCAUCUUGUGCACGGGAGUCACCAUGGGGGUUACCAUGGCUAUGGUCACGGGAAGUUCAAGCAUGGGAAACAUGGGUAUGGUCAUGGGAAAUUUAAGCAUGGCAAACAUGGGUUUGGUCAUGGGAAAUUUGGCAAGCGCUUUGGGUUUGGAGGCAAGUUCAAGAAAUGGAAGUAAUGUAGAUGUAAUGGUGGCUUCAAAAUCUAACUCACUCUACUGAAGAUGGAUUUGAUAUUACAAUUGGCUUUCUCAUAAUAUUACUUCAGAUGAGUUAGUUGUGGAUUUCUAUUGUUCGGAGAUUGGUAUUACCUAUUCUAGUAGUUUGUUUGCUUUUGUAAGUACAUUCAAGUUCUUUAACUAAAUAACAUAGAAACUGUUACUGUUUGCAUAGACAACUGGUGUCUUUGUUUUUUUUCAUAUCAAAGUUUUUUCGAUUAUACUUUCAUUGCUCUCGCUUCAGGAGCUAUCCUUACAAGUAGGAAUGGGUUGGCAGUUCGAUGUUUUUGUCAAAGCUAGAACUAGUUUAGAGCUUGAGCUUCACCAAGGGUAUUAGUUUAGAGCUUCACCUUCACUGCGGGCAUUGUCCCGAGAUGUUUGCUGAAAAAGCUGCAAUUUCUUCAUGGUGUCAAUGCAGUCCACACAGUUGAGCUUGAUACCUUGAGUGUUUCAAUUCAAGGACCGGCAAAGUUUAUACCACCUUCACUCAUUUCGAAUAUGAAUUCGAAGUCAUCUAAUAAGAUACCAGUGGAGAAAAAUACAUGCACUUGGCCACCAUCUAAUCAUGUAUAUAGCUAAACAUUCCCUUCCUCCAUUCCAUAUCAUUCUCCAAAUUUAGUUUUAUCAGACACUAUUUGAUUCUACAAAUCUAAAGCUCUCUUCUCAGACCAUAUUAUACAUCCAAAUUUCAACAUAAACUUUUUGUAUCACACAGUUAAUAAACAACGCAACGAUAUUUGUAGUCCAUCACAUUGGUACAGUUAGUGAGUUCUCAUGAGUGCCGAUAUGGGUGCGCACCUAAGAUGUGUUUGAAAUUAUAUAUGCAGAUCAACCACACUUUAAGGAAGAUGUUGUAUGUAAUCACUAAAUUAAGAAUUUGACUUACAGAAAUAUAGAUAUGAAUCCAAAAUUUUGAUAUAAAUACAAUCAACUUUACUGUGUAUACAAGAACAGUAGCAGUAGCAGUUGAAACGAAAUUGCUUUGAAUAAAAUACUAACUUGAUCGAUGAUAGAGGCUUGCUUACAGCAAUCUCUUAAGACAGAAUUUCGCCCCUACUGUAGUGCAUAUAGCUUUUUGGAUGUCUAUCUUGCAGGAUACAACUAUCAAAUUUUGUUUAAUCACUUCAACAAAAUUCCUGGUAAACUGUAUUUUGUGUUUCUCAGAAAAAUAUUAGGAGAAGAGGAGAAGGAUUUGUUAUCUUUGAUUUGUCUGGUUUGCUUGUCUUUUAUAGACUACGAACUGAACAAUUGCAAUGCUUCGGUAGAACUGAAAUGUUGCAAUGGUUUGUUCAAAACCAAACUCUUCCAACAGACAUAUCUGUUGCAAAAAUAAAAUCCAGAUAAAAAGAAAGAUAUUUUUUUAUUUUAAUUUACAGCACCAAACUCUUCCAACAGAUAUAUCUGUUGCAAAAAUAAAAUCCAGAUAAAAAAAAGAUAGUUUUUUUAUUUUAAUUUAAAAGCCCAAGGCCCAUAUAUAUUUGGUUAUAUAUGGAAGCCCAUAUAUAUAACUUACAGCCUAUUGACACGCAUACCAAGUGAAUAUAUAUGAAGGCUAACAUCAAAACUAUUUAUCCAAUGUGGGAGUCUCCCGCAUUUUCCAACAAGAUGGUCUCCGAUAUGGCAGAACCUACGAAUUGUUCCAACUUUUCCACCUAUUUCAAGUUUUGAAGCCCCAAAAAGAACACGUGUUAAUAGAUACAGACAGCCUGCGCACAAAUCUUAACAAGAAACAAGAAAACACUUGCUCCUCAAAAUUGUCACACAACAGACGGCAACAUCUAUCUUGGUGAUCCACCAGAAACUCAGAUAUCAUUUUGGUUAGCUAUCUCUAUCUUUCUUUCUAUUCAAUGCUUUGGUUAUCCUGGUAUUCUCUAUUUGCUGUUAACAAUUCUCUUCUGGGUUUGUGGAUGCAUGACUUUCUUCUUGUUCUUUUCUUGUUUUAUUGUUCCCUUUCAAAUGCUUCUUAACCACGUUUCCUUUGGUUAUUCCUGAAAUCUAUGAUUGCUAUGAACAUGGGUUUCUCAUUUGAAUCUCAAUGGUGGGUUGUUGGUCACUUGGUCAUGUAAUAUGUAACAUGAUCGAUUUCUAAUCCUAAGCCAAAAGUUUUUCUUUUUUCCUUUCUGCAUUUGUGGUUCUAUAUGAUUUUCUGACUUUUCUCUAUCUUUAUUGUUGAAUGAUCGGAUGUAAGGCUUUCCAUCUUUUCGAAAAUUAUGUGAUCCAUGAACAUAAUUACAUUAGGUGUUUUUGUCGUCUCAUUGUGAUCAAUAUCAAUAGCACAGUAAAAUAAGUCUUCUUAUCUAAAUUACUUUCAUGAUCUUCGAAUUACCAUCUGUUCAAGUCCUUGCUAACAGAAACAGUAUGCAAAACCAGCUUUUUAUAUUUAUAAUGAAUUAAUGAUAGUAUCAUGGGGCCAUUAUAAUUGAUUUGGUGAGUUUGAAGCUGAUGUAGAUGUUUCGUUAAAUGUCAUAGUGUGUCUGUGUACUUUUCUGCAAAUGUUUGGGACAAUAGGUAGUAUGCAUCACUUCUAUCUAGUGUUUGGAUGGUGAUGAACUUCCGACAUAUAUUGAGUUUAGCCUAGUGUAACAAAGAUGCAAAGCAUUUUGACAUAAGCAUCCGUUGUAAAGACUGAAGGCCAUAGAAGGUUUUGGUUACAUGGAGUUAAAAGUAGACACCUAACUAACAACUACCAUCGGAGUAGCUGAACCUGACAAACACCGUCUCAGAAAAAUAGUAGAAAUAGGAGGAACAUAUCAAACUAUCCACAGCCUGCAUCAAAGAAGAAUUCCCUAACCCAGCCAAGCUCAACCUUGUUUUGCUCUCGGUAAGAUAGGAGACAGGAGCAGUCCAAUCCUUCCUUCAUAAUAAUCUGACAAUUUAUAACAUGUGCAUAGGUUGGAGAAUUAGCUCAAUAGAAGGCAUGAUUCAAGCUACACUCGGAAUUGCUAGCAAUUGUUAAUCUCUUCAGGAGACUACAACGCCCUUCAAAAUUUGACCAAUUCCAAGGAUAACUGAGAACACCUUAAACCAAACUCUGCAAUCAUUCCUCAAGACUUUCCGAUUACACCUUAAACCAGAAGCAGAAAGUCUACUUAUAUCAGCCUCAACCUCGAAACUGUCUGUUCUGGCACAUAUUCUACAGUUUCCGCCUCUGCUGCAGAUGAAGUCUAGCAGGUUUGAAUUGGUACCCUUAUUGGUGUUAGUGUAAUCACAGAAAGAGAUAAAAGGUGAUGAGGUCAUUAGGCCGUUUAGGAAUAUGAAAAGCCUCAUCAAUGAUGAGUUUGCACCUUCAUGCAAAACAGUGUCAAUGAACACCAUAAUAUACAAAAAUUUGUAGACAUUAAGUUAAGCAGCCAACCUCUGGAAGUUAUAGAAAGAUGAACCGGACUCACAGUUUGGGUGAAGAGCAGCCUAACUUCUCAUAGAUGCAUUGUACUUUUUCGAUUAUAGGAUCGGUAGACUCAACACUAGUACACAUAAGACAGCAUGCAAUAGUGAGUGGCCUUUGUCUAUGCGUUCUAAAUUCAAUAGCGAGAAACGUGGCAUCAGAGACUUAUUAAUUUUGGAGGGAUUAGGUGAUUUCAUAUUGACCCCGCUGCAAGUCAUGAUCAAUGAUCAGAGAAGCGGGUCUGAUGUAUUUCAAACUGAAAUAUUGGAGGUCAAAUUCAAUAAUCAAUAUUCAACUCUCCCUUACACUAAAAGACCCUGCUGUAUGCUUCACAAAGAGUUAAGGAUUUCAAAUUUGGAGGAAUUGACUGAGCCACAGUCGAGUUAUCCUCCUUAAAUCUUCUUCGUCUUUUUUUAUGAGAAUUAAAAUUAAUCUUCAAAAUAGCCAAUACUCCAGUUUUAACCGUUUGGCAAAAUGUCAGCUCCAAGAACACUCCCAUGUAUAGAACAAAGAAUUAGAAGGACAUAAAUGAUUUUCUUUGGCAAGUUCUAUUACUGAUCAUCAUUAUCAUCUUUGCCUUUGUCAUACACAUACAUGUGCCUGAUCAUAUAAUUUCCAUUUCCGUUCUUUAUUAUAUGACAUAUCUCCCAAGAAAAUUUCCUUUUCAGGUCUUUUGAUUAUGUUUCAUCCCAUAUUUGUUGUGAUUUAUCUCUUAAAUAAUACCUUGUUUUUAACUAGGCUUCCUUCAGUUAUAGGUGCUUGUGGUUUUGUCUGCUUAUAAAUUUGUAGUGAUCACUAUUUUAUGUAUAUGUCACUACAACCUAAACAUCUCUAGGGCUCAUAGACUCAAUUUUCUAGUACCUCGAGUUUGUCUAAUGUGUUGUUAGCUGUUUCCAUCAUAAAUCCAAACAUCCUCAUCUCCUUUGCAUGGGUAUGUGCUCUUAUGUUUUCUUAUUUGGCUAGCUGAGUAGUUUAUCUUUUUCCCAGGUGGUAGUCCUUGAAAAAAUUUCAGAAUUUAAGGUUGUGUAACUUGAUUCCAGCUCAAGCUAAAGGUAUUUGAAUUUCUGCAGAACAGUUGUUGCCAGGAACUGUAACCUGUUUAUUAAAAACAUCUUGAUAAGAAGGCUCGUUUAACAAGUUAUGACCAUGGUGUUGUUUCAUAGAUUUAAUAAUUCUCAGACAUAUUCUGGACAUCUGGUAAUAAGCAUAUCUGUAAAACUUAGUGUGUCAUUUUUGUUUGGAAUCUGUUGAAAUAGUAGUCUUUGCCAAGUUAGUGUGAAGUCAUUGAGGGUUGCUUUGUGCAUGUUUCUUCUGUCUCAUUGUUUUACUCUGUGGUAGGUUUUUGUAGGCAUUAAUUUCAAAUUGAAGUAAAAUGGGAGGUGGAAAAGACAACAAUAAUGGUACUACUGACAGAGGGCUACUCUCAAGUCUUGCUGGAUUUGCUGCUGGACACAUGCCACGGCCUGGAUCGCAUUCUCAUCAAGGACACGUAUAUCCCCCACAAGCAUAUGCACCACCUGGGUACCCUCCUUCAGGUGGGUAUCCUCCUUCUACCGGGUAUCCUCCCUCAGCCGGGUAUCCUCCCCCAGCCGGGUACCCUCCCUCAGGUGGUUACCCUCCUCAAAGCGGCUACCCUCCUCAAAGCGGGUAUCCCCCAUCUGGAAAUUCUCCUACUAUGGCAUAUCCACCAGCCGGCUAUCCUGCCCCUAGUGGAUAUCCACCAGCUGGUUAUCCAGGCCCAUCAGCUCCACAUCAAUCAGGUAUUCCAACCUUUUAACUUGUCGAAGCUUAUAGAAUACAAAGUUAAAUAUAUGAGUUGGUAUUAGUCAAGUUAUAUAUAGUCCUUCCAUGUAUUUGUCAGUCAAGUUAUAUAUAGUCCUUCCAUGUAUUGUGUUGUGACAAUACAUGUUGAUUUUCCUAUCAUUUGUUUUAGUUUCCCUCUAACAAUCAACCACAUUGCACACAACCCUGCUGACAGAGUGACAAUAUUAAGAUUGCCAGCAACCAAACUUAACAACUACUCAUGCAAUCCAGUCCAAACCAAUGUUUUCUCAUUUGGAAUUUUGACGAGAUUGUCUCUUUUAGUUGAUGCGCUUCUAACUUUGGUCUCUAGAGAACAUUUCAAGUGUCAAUGAACAAAACCAGUGUUCAUGACUUAGAAUGUAGUUAGAAGGCAGUUUGUAGAUCUGUAGAGUUACAUAUACUGUUUCACUUUGUUUUGGUAGGUGAAAAGCAGCAGUACGAGUUUCAAAAUAUUUUGAUGUCACUGUGUUGCAACUCAAGUAGAAUGAAAAGGCCCUCUGUGGAGUAAGGGUCAAGGCACCAACUAUAUUUAUGGCAAUUUGUGCUGACUAUUGCAGGGCAUGGAUCUGGUAUGGGAAUGGGAACUAUGUUAGCCGGUGGUGCUGCUGCUGCCGCUGCAGGUUAUGGAGUUCACCAUCUUGCGCACAGUAGUGGCCAUGGAAGAGGUUCCCAUGGCUUUGGUUUUGGGGGUUCCCAUGGCUACAAACAUGGAAAAUUUGGAAAGCAUCAUGGGGGGAAGUUCAAGCAUGGGAAAUUUGGAAAGCAUCAUGGGGGAAAGUUCAAGCAUGGGAAAUUCAAAAAGCAUCAUGGGGGACUGUUCAAGAAAUGGAAGUGAUUUGCAUUGAGAGCUAAAGUUACUUCCAUUGAUUCUCUUGCUCUACAAUUGGCGUUCUUUUGUCAGUUCCAUCAGCAUUCUGCGACUCGUUUACUGUUAUAUAUUUCAAAGUAUGUAUGAUAAAUAUUUCAUUUCUAGUGCUUAAUCUUCCUACGAUGUAAAUAUGUUCCUGUUCUUUAACCAAUAUGCUUAUAUGCAUGAAAGUUGUUUCCUAUAAUCUUUUUGUUUGAUACUACUGUUAUGAGCUUAUUCUACAAUGUGCCACACAGGAGGGAUUAGGGUUCAGGCAUCAAUGACAAUAUUGUUCUUGGCGUUCCUAUUUUUGGAUAUUUUUUUAGCUUGGUUAGAUUUGCAUAUGGAGCCUUCUUAUUAAGGGUUUGCAUUGUUUUCUGGACCUCCCAACUUUGUAUCCUAGUCACAUUAGCAAAGGCUAAAACACCAAACAUAUAUGACUGGGAAGCUUUUUAAAUGCUGUAUUACAUUUGCUCUGCAACAGAAUUGUAUUGUAAGAGGUGAAGCAUUUUCAUAAAAGGUAGAAACAACUACAUAUGCAAAUGAUGCAUGUUGUCCAGAAAUCAUGCAUCGACUGAUCCAAUACAUAACACCAGAUGAAAUAAUUCACUCAAGCAUCUACUACAGGUUUCAUUAAACUAGACUUAAAAUCUCAAAUCUUUAGUGUUACAUGCAUGUUUUGUUUUAGCAUAAUAUAUAACAGUUAAGCCUAACAAUAUAUUGUUCAAUUGCUAAUGUGGUGGAUGGUAUAUAACAAUUAAUCAACAUAUGUAUUCAAACAUGAGGAAGAGGAGGUUUCUAUGUAUAGUAGCCAUUUCUGUUUCUCAUUUCUUUUUUGUCUCAUUGAGCUAGCUGAGUAAGCUGAUGCCUCUUUCAUUGGAUCCAUUUCUGGGUUUUUGACUAAUGAAGUAUGUCAAUCAUCUCAAAACUCAUAUAGUAUAUCAAAGUCUAGCUUGGUUGUUGGAUCCACUCACAUAUACAAAUCCUAUGCUUAAUGUAAAAGCAAGCUAGGAUUACACAACUGAUGCAGUCAAAGUCAAGAACCAUUUGCAGAAUACAACUUAUUGAUCACCUACUCUGCAACAAGUUUCCCAUGGUUUUUCUGGGUCUUAUCCUAUUCCUCCUGGCUUUUAUGCUAUUUUAUUUCAUUUUCCUAAAUUUUAUUUCUCCUCUCUUUCUGUUUAUCCACAAGAAUAGAUUUGAAAAAUUGGAACACCUUUUGGGUUGUGCAUGUUCUUGCAAACUGAGUGGUUCAAGUGAGGGUCCAUAUUGAUCCUGCUCUCACAUGCAGUACAGUCGUCUUAUGUGCAUACCCCUUUUGGUUUUAUUAAAAUUGUGCUUGUUUUGUUGACUCUACUUGUGUGGAUUCUGGUUUUAUUAACUCAAAAACAACUUUGGUACGUAGUGACAUUCCUACCUGCUAAAUAUAAUCAGUAUCUUUCAUAUCUGUCCAACAAAAAAUCGCAACAAAUAUUUCCAACAGUUUAUAUCCUUCCACACUCCUGACAACAAUAGUGAGAUAACAGUAAUAAAUAUUGUAAUGAGCAGAUUUCUUCGAUAUAAUAAACCAAAUAACACUAUAUAUAGAGGUUGUUUGAACACGAGCUAUUAAAGAUAAUAGAUGAUCAGUUUGCUGUUUGGAGUUUGUUUGUUACUUAUGUAGCGAAAUGUUAAUGUAUGAUAUAAUUUUGCUAGACUUUUGCUUUGGUGUACAAUUAUACAAGUUAAUGGGUUGGAUUCUUGAUUAAGUAAAAGAAAUGAGCAAGAUUUCAUUGUCAAAAUAGAUAGGCUUAUCAAAACCUAGAAGAGAUUGUUUCUCUCUUCCUUUGCUCGAUAGCAAGAAAUUAAGCAGCCAAUAAGUAUACCAUGUUUGAGAAGUUGACAAAUAGCCAAUGGGAUGCUCCUCACAUGCAUUUUUCAGUGUUGCCAAAUAUGGUGUGACAUCUUACGCCCUGCUCUCUAAUUUUGAAUCAUCUAAGAACAAGAUGCUCCCAACAUGAUUUGAGGUCUUGUCUUGUCAUCGGCCAUAUUUGAUAUUUCAGUUAAGGGCACCCACUAUGUAAUAUAUCUCCUUAUCUCCCUUUGUAUUAUCGUGGGACAAAGUAACUUAAAGCCUUGUAGUUGUUUAUUUUUUUCUCCUCAGAAUAGAUUGUAGUUGAUAUAGGAAAAGUCUCGAACCAAAUAUAAUCCUUUUUGGAAAUGGUAAUCACAAAUAAUUAAUUUGAAAAAAUAUAGAAAAAGAGAGAGUUUAAAUGCAUAAGUCCGAACCGGUUUGGAACAAGUAUUUUCCCUCCUUGAAUAUUUUUGCCUAAAAAAAAAAGUAAAAAAGAAGAAGAAAAUACCAACAUGAUGUAAAAGUACUCAUGCUCCGAAACCCAUCAUUUUCAGCAAGUAGCCCAACUAUCCUCCAUAUUUUAAAAAAAAAAUAAUAAUUCAUUUAUAUAAUCAAAAGCCAUUACAAUGACCACAAAGAUCAUAUAGACUUUUUAUGUACUCUUUCUUGGACUCUCUCUAAGAUUAUCCUUUUGCCUAGCUAUUGACCCUCAUCUUCUUCUUGUCUUUCAAAAACAAGAGCUGCUGCGCUUUUUCCCAUUCCAAAGCCUCAUUGGAGUAAAAACGAAAAACAAACAAAGAAAAAAGGCAAAAUUAUUUUUUCCAAAGGUUCUUUUGCUUUUGUCUGGUCUUUAGUUGCUCUCCAUCUUUUUCCAAAUUCAUCAUGUCACAAGUUUUUGUUAGAUAAAUGUGGUUUCUCUCGCAACGACGGAUAAGUGAUAUGCUUGUAGAGGAUGCAUAAGAAGGCAAAAAUUGUGAGAUAUUAUGUAUGUGUGUAAAAUAUGAUACAUAUAGUUAUUCCCACAUUAGGAUCAGAAGAUUUGAAGGUCAUGCAUCUAUUUCUAAUUUUCUACUCUCCAAUCUCAAUUGUACCUUACUUAUACUUUUUGACACAUCAAGUUUUAUCAGCUAAAAACAAUAAAAUUAAUAUGAAAUUGAGUAGGAAAAUAUAACAAAAAUAUGGAAAAAAAGGAAGAAAAAAGCAGAACAGAAAUUUAUCAGUAUACGUCGUCUCCAUACGUGGUGACCUGUUCUGAUAGUCAAAAAAGAAAUAUUAGUUUCCAAUCCAAAAUUUCUAGCUUAAUCAGCAAUAAGUGAACAUGUUUUAACCUCAAAAGAUGUACGAGGAACAAAAAACUAUUAAGGAACAAAAUGUUCAAAAUGUAUUUUUAUCAUUUUUAUAAAUGACAAAGUAUUAAGAAAGAGAUGAAGUCACAAUGGAGUGGGAAAAUGAUUUCCAUUGAAUAAGUGUAGUGGUAGUAGUAGACCUGUAAAUGGACCGGAUCUUGAUCCAGACCUGCUCCGGAUCCAUGGUUUUUAAACGGGUUUGGAUCGAAAAUUAGACUCGUUGAUCCAUUAAGGACCCGGAUCCGUUAACCCGUUUAUUAAACGGAUCGGAUACGAAUUGAGGUUGAUCCAAUCCGUUAAGGACCCGGAUCCGUUUUAAAAUAAUUAAAUAAUAUUUUUAUAAAUAUAAUAUUAUUGAUAAAUAUUCAAUAAUAUAAUAAUUAUUUGGAUAACCUAAACGUCUAAAUUGCAUCUAAAGUAUGAUCAUUUGAUGAAGUUGAAGAUUACUUAUGCGUAUAUUUUUUUUAUGCUCUUUGCUAAUAAAUACAUUGGGGGUCUAGUAUUUUGAAUAUAUUAGUUUAUUGUUAAGAAGUAUUUUGGCCAUGUAAUUCAAUUUUUAAUGUAAACCUUUAUUUUGUUAUAAUAUUUCAUUAGUGUUUUAUGAAAAUUUAUGAUAAAAUAAAAAAUUAUUAUUUAAAAUUUGAAAAUAUUUAUUAUUAUAAACGGAUCGGAUUAACGGGUCAGGUAUCCGUUAACCCGCUGGAUCCGGAUUUGGAUCUAGCUAUCAAAGAUCCGACGGGUAAUGGGUCGGAUCCGGAUCCAAAAUUUCUAUUAUGGAUCCGGAUCCGGAUCUAGGUCGAUCCGCUCCAGAUCCGGUCCAUUUACAAGUCUAAUCAUAACAGAGUAAGAUGUUUAGCUACAAAAGGAAAGAAGAUGUUGAGAGACCUGAUCCAGCUUGUCAUUGAUUGUGACUCGUAAAGACCGACUCCCGAGUCCUCAUACUUCAUCCAGUUCUUCUUUUUACAUAGAAAUAACACCUUUUUUAAUUGACAUAGAAAUGUCAUCUCUGUUAUAACAAAGCUGAGCGUUCAACAAAUUUACUAAAUUGUGAUUUGUCUAAACUAUCCAUAUAUUAACAAAUUCUGAUAUAGAAACAAGAGGGAUAUUAGAGAAAUUUUAUUAACAUAUGCCUAUUUUCUAGAUACACAUCCCACGUUUUUAGUAAAUUUUAUAUUUCUAUUUUACUCUUUUCAAACAAAAUACUAAUCAUACUUUGAUACUCAAUCACAACAAGAACCCACCAAAGUCAAGUACCCAGGUUGCAACCGUCAGAGGCCGAUGGUAAAGAGGUAUUUGGUCACCAAAGGAAUCUUGUUUGUUGGGUUACAACCCAGAGUAGAUAAAUAGAGGGAAAUCACUACAUGCCUUAAAAUAUGCACUACCAAAAGAAAAGCUUUAGCCGACGAAAAUAAAAAAACCAGGUAGACGAAUUUUUUUUAGCCGACGAAAUUUUCCUUCAUCGGCUAAUUUAAAAUUUUCGUCGGCUAUGGUCAACUUUAGCCGACGAAAUUAAAAUUUCGUCGGCUAAAUAAUUUUUUUCGUCGGCUAUAGUCUGUGAACUUUAGCCGACGAAAUUUUCAAAAGUUUAGCCAACGAAAUUUUCAAAAGUUAAGCCGACGAAAUUUUUAAACUUUAGCCGACGAAAAAUAUAAUUUCGUCGGCUAAAAUACCUUAUAUUUGCAGAUUUGGACAACAACUCAUCUGGAAAAAAAAAAACUAUACGUAGAACCUUCAAACGCAAAAAGUCGUGAAAUAAGAUAUGACCAGAAUGGUGAAAUACGUCUACGGUUGAAAAAUCACAGUAUUCCGGUAAAGUCUCGGUGCCGAUAGUUGACUUACCCUUAUUAUUCAUUAUGUUGUAGAUUUGGCGUUUGGUGUCUGAUUGACUAUUGUGAUGCCUUUUCGGAAGUGUAACGGCCUUACGAGUCAAACUCAUGGCAUUAGCCAUGAUGUAUAGGCCUUUUUGGCCAUCCGAGUCCGUUUAGGGCUUCAAAAUACAGUUUUCUUAUUUCCGAUUAGAGUUGACCGUUUCAAUCGAGCCCUUAACGUUGUCGGAUCCAGUUGAAUUUUUUACCAUAGACAUCUUUCGUCAUAAUGAUCAUAUCUGACGGUCGAAUUUUGGUUUGUGAAUCUUAGUCAUCGGAAUCACAACGUGUCUACUAUUUACCGUUAUUCGGGUUUAUGGGGAGCCCUAUCGUCGGAAGGUAAAUGUCUCAAAAUUUUUAUAUGGGCAGUUGCGUCUCAUCUACAUGAGAGUUUUCGUGUGGAAGGUUUGACCAAACUACAUAAUAUAGAGGGAGAUAUGAGCGUUUUCGUGUGAUAACUAACGAUGGAUUAGGGUUGACCGUUUCGAUCGAGCCCUUAACGUUGUCGGAUCCAGUUGAAUUUUUUACCAUUGACAUCUUUCGUCAUAAUGAUCAUAUCUGACGGUCAAAUUUUGGUUUGUGAAUUUUAGUCAUCGGAAUCACAACGUGUCUACUAAUGUUGUAUAACUUGUUUAGUAGGUUAUACAACUUUGUAAACCAACUCUACAUAGGAAGCAAAAUUAUCAAAAAUCUCGUGAAAUAAGAUGUGUUCAUAAUGGUGAAAUACGGCUAUGGUUCAAAAAUCACGUAAAUCGGGUAACGUCUCGGUGCAGAUAGUACCGGUCAACCAUAUUUACCGUUAUUAUUCCUUAUGGGGAGCCCUAUCGUCAGAAGGUAAAAUGUCUCAAAAAAUUUUAUAUAGGCGGUUGCGUCUCAUCUACAUGAGAGUUUUUCGUGUGGAAGGUUUGACCAAAACUAUGUAAUAUAGAGGGAGAUACGAGCGUUUUCGUGAAUUUAUAGACUUUAGCCGACGAGAUAUUAAAAAAGUCGUCGGCUAAGGUCAAAAAUUGUUUGGCGGUAAACCAAAUUUGGAGGAAAAUUUUCAAAUGACUUUAGCCGACGGAAAUAUAUGAAAAGUCGUCGGCUAAAGUCGAAAAAAUAUUUGACGGCAAACCAAAUUUGGGAGAAAAUUUUCAAAAUUUUCAAAGGACUUUAGCCGACGAGCUUCAUUACUUUAGCCGACGAAUUUCACAAGUUUCGUCGGCUAAAGUCUGUUUCCGCCAAAAAUUUCGGAAAAUUUCAAACCUCCUUUAAAUUUUUAGCUCUCUCUUUAACCUACUCCCCUCAAACAUCUUAUCUUCUUCUUUCUCUCACCAAGAACUUCACCCAAUAACUUUUUCUUCUCUUCCCCACCGAAACAAACCCACUCACUCUCUCUUUCCUCUCCCUCUUCUCCUCCUCCUCUCCCUCUCCUCCCUCUUCCAACUCCUUAGAUCGAUCUUGUCACAUCCCGACCCUUAUANNNNNNNNNNNNNNNNNNNNNNNNNNNNNNNNNNNNNNNNNNNNNNNNNNNNNNNNNNNNNNNNNNNNNNNNNNNNNNNNNNNNNNNNNNNNNNNNNNNNCAUGGAUUGUUGGUGUAAGGGGUGAAGGAACAAGUGGCGGCACCCUCACUGGUGGAGUCCUUGCUUCCUGCAAUGAAAGCCUUUCUUCUUGCCUCUCUGUAGGGAUAGAACAAGCCCAUAUCUAUCGUACCCUUUAAGUACCGGAAGAUUGUCUUUAUGCCAGUCCAAUGGCGUUGCGUGGGCGCUGAGCUAAAUCUAGCUAACAAGUUUACAGCAAAUGAGAUGUCCGGUCUUGUGCAUUGAGCUAAAUACAGUAAUGCACCUAUUGCACUUAGGUAAGGCACUUCAGCCCCCAAGACUUCUUCGUCCUCAUCCUUUGGACAAAAUGGAUUCUUUUUUGGAUCUAGGCUGCGGACGAUCAUGGGAGUGCUAACAGAAUGAACUUUGUCCAUGUUAAAUCUUCUUAACAUUUUGUGGACUAAUAUUCCACUACUACGGUGCUCUAGCUCUAGUCCUAGGCAAAACCGUGUCUUCCCAAGAUCUUUCAUCUCGAAUUCGGAUUUCAAAUACUUUGCAGUGUCCUUUAACUCAUCAAGAGUCCCAAUAAUGUUCAUGUCAUCAACAUAGACAGCGACAAUUGCAAAUCCGGAACUUGUUUUCUUAAUAAACACGCAUGGGCAUAGUUCAUUAUUCACAUAUCCCUUCCCAAUCAAGUAUUCACUUAGACGAUUAUACCACAUACGUCCAGAUUGCUUUAAUCCAUAUAGUGAACGUCUCAACCUUAUUGAGAAUGCGCUCCGUGGUUUAGAGCUACUUGAUUUGGGUAAUGGAAGUCCAUUAGAAACUUUCAUAUAUAUCUCUAAAUCCAGAUCCCCAUAGAGAUAUGCAGUAACCACAUCCAUAAGCUGCAUGUCAAGUUUUUCAGAAACCACCAAACUGAUAAGGUAGCGGAAAGUUAUAACGUCCAUUACAGGAGAGUAUGUCUCCUCGUAGUCAAUUCCAGGGCGUUGUGAGAAACCUUGCGCCACAAGGCGGGCUUUAUAUCUUAAUACCUCAUUCUUCUCAUUUCGCUUUCUAACAAAAACCCAUUUAUGUCCCACAGGCUUUACAUUUGGCGGGGUUAGCACUACCGGGCCAAAUACCUGUCUCUUUGUUAGUGAAUCUAAUUCAACCUGGAUUGCUUCUUUCCAUUUGGGCCAAUCUGCUCUCUGUUGACAUUCUUCAACAAAGCGAGGUUCGAUAUCAUCAUGUUCUAUGAUUUCCUGUGCAACUGAGAAUGCAAAUGCAUCAUCAAGGAUCACAGAUUCUCUAUCCAGUAUCUCAUGUACGCUAGCAUAAUUCAUUGAGAUCUCUUUAUUCGCUGUACUUGGAUCAACCGUUGGAAUUNNNNNNNNNNNNNNNNNNNNAAUAUAUCAUUCGAAUAGCAAAGAGAAGCAAAUGUUUACAGAGUGAUCACUGUUUUUAUUUUAUUUUUUUAUUUUUAUAGAAUUAAUGAAAAACUUCAUUAAUAGUUCCAUAAGGGGAUGAAACCCAAUGGAGAAGCCCAAAAGAGGCCCAUAAUACAAUAAUAAGAGGAAAAUUUACCACUCAGCCUAGUCCACAUAGAUAGAGUAAGUGAGGGUAAACUCUAAAAAUAUCCUAUAUUAAAGAUGCAAAAUAAAAAGUGUGCUGAAAUUUACACACCCAUUUUUUUUCUGUAAUCAACACACCCUUGUGCUGUAUUUACCAAAUCAUCCUUAGCUGAUUUAUCAAAUACUCUCUCGGUCUCUCCUACUCUGUCUCUCCCCAAUGUUCUUAUCAGACUGAUCCAAAUCUCAGUCCCCCACAACAAGCAUAACUAAACCCACCCCUUACCGCCUCAACCAUCUCAAUCUCUUUCGCAUUUUGGCCCCGGCGGUGAUCGAGGGCUUAAAUUUCGGUCCCGGUGGUGAUUGGGAAAUUUUACAACCGAGAGGGAAGUUCGAGCUCGCGACGGAGCUUGUCAGAGUCAUCAAGGCGGAGGACGCAGUGGGGCUGCCUUUUCAGUUUCUUCGCUUCAACUUAUUCUCCUCGUGGGAUUUAAAUGUAGUGAGAAUGAUGGGAAUAGUAAUCAAGGAAAGGAUGUUGGAUCGAUCAAUGGUGGAUUAUAUAUAUAUAUAUAUAUAUACCCCUUUUCAUUGAGGGAUCUUUAUUUCUGGCCACUUUUUAGGGAUAGGGCAUUACACCACUUCCCAAUUUAAUUUUUACAUCUCUACCGUUCAUAUCUUAGGUCUAUAUGAGUAGAUCACCUUUACAAAAUUUCAUAUGAUUUGGUGAUCGUUAAGGCUUUCAAAAGUUUGAUUUAGUUUUAAUGAUCUUGAACGGUCCAACUUAUGUCAAACUAAAACCGUUGAAGGUCAUUAAAACUAAAUUGAACUUUUGAAAGUCUUAACGAUCACCAAAUCAUAUGAANNNNNNNNNNNNNNNNNNNNCUAUAUGCUACGCCAUUAAGGUGAACAGACACAUAUGGCUAGCUAGCAUUUAUAUACAUACUCUCUCAUAAAUACAUAUUUAUAUCCACCGAAAAUCUCAUUUUCGGUAACUCUCCAAGAGAAAAUAAAAAUCGUCAAAUUAAAAUGACGUUAAAAUAUUCCGCAACAUUAAUUGUUCAACCAUGAACUAUAGCAUGCAUUUAUUUAAAAUAAACGUCCACUCACAAAUUAGGCCUAAGCCUGAUGUCGAUCUGGGGCCUCGUCUGCUCGAGCCUCCUCACGUCCUGUUCCAAUAUAAUAUUAAUUUCCCAACCAAAAAUCCAAUAUUUAAUCAAAAUAGGCAAAAUUACCCGAGAGCCAUAAAUACGCUCAUCAUUGCCUAAUUUCGAUAUUCUUAAAUCGGAACGAUUCGAACUUAAAUAUCAUACUCAUCAGUCGUAAAUACAACCUCCCCAAAAUACGACUUAAAUCUUACGGCCGAAUUCUACAUUAAUUAACCGCCAAAAAUACCAAACUUCGGAAAUUCACAAACCUAUCCAAAUCUCAUCCAAAAAUUCCAUAAAUCACACCAAUAUACUCCUCUUAAUAUUCCACAUUUAAAACCCUAAAAAUCUCCUAACCGGCAGCGGCGGCCGGAGGCCAAUUCCGGCGACCUCCAAAACCUAUGAAAUUUUGACAGAAUAAUCUCCUCAUCAUGCUCUACAACUUUCAUGACCAACACAUCACCCAAUUCCAAGCCUAACUAGGCUAAUCGAACAAAAACAACUUAAAAGCCCUAGAAAUUUCAACUCCACAUUUCUCCUUACCUAGCUCAAGAGGGAGUGAGCUGAUUGGAGGGGUUGCUGCACGGGAGGAGGGCUACAAAACCGUACCAAGCUUGCCCGGAUUGGUGGCCGGAGGAGGGAGUUCCGGCGACCGGAAGUUCGGGGCAGCCUAGCCUUUCGGGCAGCACCGCUCUCUCACGGCGGCGCUAGGGGGGCUGUCACCGGUCCUGGAAGAUAGCUGGGUCGGAGACCGAUCGAUUGGGACCGGUGCGGCGGUCUGGGGCGGCCGGACGGCGGCGGUCUAGCGGUCAGAAAAUCGGACAGCGGGAGGGGGUUCGGGUGCGGGAAAACCGGGAGGAAAAAGAGAGGAAAAGAGAAUGGGUUUGGGCCUCACACCCCAAACCGGUCCAUCACCUAUAUACUACCCAAUUCUAAAAUAAAACACCCCGAAAAAUAAUACCCGAAUAAAAAUUACCUUUUACUAGCUAAAUUACUAUUUUACCGUCGUCGUAUUUUCCUCAUACGAAUAAUCCUCCGCACAUAAUCGUCCCCGAAACCCCUCUAGGGACCAAUUAACUAUUAACUCAAUGACGGAGACGGUNNNNNNNNNNNNNNNNNNNNUAUAUAUAUAAAGCUUUCAAUGAACAAGCAGACUAAGAUGGUGGGAGAUGUGAGAAGUUGGUAACCCAUUUUCAACGAGAGAGAUUAAUUGGUAGUAUUGGGGUGGGAAGAAAGUGGCUAAUAAUAUUGAACACUUGAACAUGAUUGAGGGUGAUGAAAUUUGACGACGAACAGGAUUUUGAGCAACGUCAAAAUUCGCUCUUCGUUUUCCAUUGAAGAAAUUGCUUAAGCUUACCACAAGGUCGGAAAGAAUGCCGGGGCCGCCACCAAGACUCUUGCUCUCCGCUACUAACGGCGGCGAAGGAUCCUUCGACAGCGAUAUUGGAAAGAAGAAUAAAACGAAGUAGGCAGAUGGGAAUUGUAACUCUACGGGGGAAUGGUAGUUUUGGAAGAUGAGUUAAUAAAGAGUAAUAAAAAAUUAAAAGGUGUGUGGAAUAUAAAAAAGGCUGUGCAAAUUUCAGCACCUAAUAAAAAACCUAAACUUAGGAUUCUAAGAUUAGGUUGGAAAUGCUCGACAUCAAUUAUUAGUACUAGUACAAUUUUCCAUUAGUGGUAGGAGAAAUUUUUCAGACAUAUGGGACAGUCGAUGUUAACCAAAUAUGUUUCCACUUCGGACAUUGUAUGCAAAAGGUUAUCACAUUCAUAUUAUUGAACUCAAAAUGGUUUGAUAACCACAAGUAUUAACUGUAUUAUUGAAUGUCCUGAAUCAUCAUGUCAUGAAAAGAAAAGAAGAUGACCAUUAUUGGAGGUCCUCAAUCACCAUAUGGAAUCGAUGUUAUAACAAACUAAGCAUCAGAAAUUAAAAAACAAAACGAUGUCAAUAAUUCGCUUUUUUCAUUUCAUUCAUACAACUCACAAGUUGGAAAUAAUUAGCCAAAAUCAUGUAUAUAUUUUCCCUACGAAUUUUUGCAUUCAUCACGUACGAGGUUGGAAAUUGCAAUACUUUAGAACGUCCAAGGAUUAGGUUGAAAAAUUCUACAAUACUAAGAUGUUGCUCGAUCAUGUAUCAGAAGCUAGCCUGCCGAUUUGGUGAAGUUCCUAAAAUCUUGAUCUCUAGAGGCACCA
This 48956-nucleotide long non-coding RNA is filed under the name Fragaria vesca (wild strawberry). RNAcentral describes it as "long non-coding RNA (FVES_LNC003771)". The record is from RNAcentral. Lineage: Eukaryota; Viridiplantae; Streptophyta; Magnoliopsida; Rosales; Rosaceae.